RNAcentral lists this long non-coding RNA (52937 nucleotides) under Vitis vinifera (wine grape). RNAcentral's name for it is "long non-coding RNA (VVIN_LNC004859)". Lineage: Eukaryota; Viridiplantae; Streptophyta; Magnoliopsida; Vitales; Vitaceae. The record is from RNAcentral.
UUAACUCAAGGUAUUCAAUCUAAGUCUAAUAUAUCCUUACUUUUUUAAGUUUGGAUUAGCUUCGGGUGUAACUCCAGGUUGUUCAAUUUGAAUGAGUUAAAUUUGAGUUGAAUUGGUUAAACCCAUAUGCAAUGAUAUAUAAAUAUUUUUUUUUAACUUUAUCCUUUAUACAUUUAUACCAAAAUUCAAAUAAUAAAUAACACACCAUUUCGAAGUAAUAACAAACAAAAAAUAGAAAAUAACAUUUUCUUUAUUAAAAUGAUUUAAAAACAUAUAAUUUGAAUAUUAUUAUAGAUAAUAAUAUAAAAUAUUAAAUGGGAUUUGAGUUACCCAACUUGAAUUGAGUACAAGUUGAGAAAACUAAACUCGAGCCCAACCCAAGUAUUAAAUAUGUUUGUCCAAUCCUUUCCAUAAAGCAGGCUCGAUUCAAAUUGUUUCUAGCCAACUCAUCUAAAUUGCAUCCGGAUUUAGGUUUUUUUAAUCCUACUAUUAUUUGCCUACAUAUGGACACAUAGAAACUUCAUUUGGAAAGAUACCAAGCAUCUUUGUGAAAUAUGCUAUAUGGCGAGUAAAGACAAACCAAAAGAAAGAUGAUACAAUAUGACAAAUGUUCAGUGAGGCCAUUGUCAAACAGAUUUAACCCUUAACUUCUACUGUAUUCCCAAAUGUGAUUUGUGAGAUGUAUACUGGUGACAGCUAAAAACCAUGGCCAUGUACAAGAUCACCAAACAAAAUUCAUUCAGUCUACACUGUCAAAUAGGAUCAUUUACUUUUCCAGGAAAAAAAAUUCACCCUGAUUGGAGCUGUCAUUGUUUAGGAUGUACUGAGACUGUCUUAACUGGUAGUGGUCUGUUUGUCUUAUGCCUCAGAGAAUUAUAUGCAGAGGUAGAAAGCAUAUAAUAAGCUAAAAGUGACAUUAUUUUUGUAAGAAAACAUACCUUUUCUGUUGUUUUUUCGAUCUUUCAGAGGCCGGCGAUGGUAUUUUAAGAACAGAAAGUAAGGUGGCAUAUGCAGAUUGUAAAAUCUCUAGGACGAUGCCACCGAUCCUUUUCCAAUCUAUUGAUAUUAAACAAUGAAGAGAACCCCACAUCUUGGACCUGCAAAGAUCAAAUAUCACUGCUACUUCCAACCAUUUGCUUUUCAUAGAGUUGCUACAAAUAACCCCAGUUCAUAUUGCAAGUUGCAACUUGUUAAGAAGUUCUACCUUCCUUAAGGAACCAAAACCUCCUGUUCUAUGGCCUCUUUAGUGUCUACUCAGUAAGGGUUUGACAUCAUGGAUGAAUCCAUCUUGCAUACUCAUAAAUGGCAGAGGACUAAGUGUCUGAAAUUGCUCUUUGUUGUAUAUAUUUUUAUUGUGAUCGGUGCUGUAAAUUUUGCAGUUUGUCAUCCUUCUGCAAGUGACUGCAUACUUGAUUUUCAGUCUUUGUCAUCCUCAUCUUCAAGCUGUGAAGAGGGUGAUUGGGGAAGUUUUCUAAACAAGGGCUGCUGUGGAGCAGCUUUUGGUGGAUAUCUCUAUUCACUGGGGAAGCAUGCAAAUGAAACAGGGAAAGUAUACUUGAAUUCCACUGAACAGAGGAAUUGCUUGACUUCAAUGAAACGUUUUGAGGCAGAUGCUGUCAGUUGUGGAAUUGAGAAGCUAACAAGUGGUACUGGGGGCUGUUCUGACUUCUUUGUCUUUGAUGUCACUGAAAAGUUGGGAGAUGAAUUUAGGAGUUUGGAGGAAAAUUGCAAAUUUGUGAGUCCUGAUGGAGAAUGGGAUCAAUCAUGUAGUUCUUGUGUGACGAGUUGGGAAGACAUAAGAGGAAUACACUCCACUUUGAAGGAUGAAACUGAUGUUUGUAGGUUUGCAGUGCUGGUAUCACUAAUAAGCAGCAGAACUGAAGAUGAGUCAUGGUUUGGAAAAAUUUACACAUGCCUCAGGGAGCAGGACAUUGACAAAGGUAUGUAGCUUGAAAGUAUAUAGGGUACUGGCUUUCUUGAGCUUAAUCAAGUUCAAGUUUACUUCUUCUAACACCAUCUAUGUACUAUUACUUGAUAACAAUCUAGGUCAUUUCCAUUUUCAAUCAAAUACGCGGUCCUCUGGACGGGAUGAAACAUCAAGGAGUCAUACAAAGUUUAAAAUUAGCACAGGUGAGUCUGCAUCCACCAUCAUAUCAUCACAUCAUAUCUUAGAUGGUUUGUUCUUUUCAAUUAACUAUGGAGAAUUUUUACACGCGUACAGGUUUAUGGUUUCUGAUAGGAGGUCUCAUAGCGAUGGCUUUGAUAAUAACCAUUGGUAUAUGGUUCUUGUUAAGGAGAUGGUGUAAAUCAUAUGCUAUACCAAAGAGAGCAGGUACAGCAUUACAGCAUUUCAUAUUCAAUAUCAGAAACCAAAAGUUCCCAUACAAAUAGCUUAUGAUAUAUGUAUAUAGUGAUUCUGUUUAUUCAUUUGACAGCAUUAAAAGCCGUGGCACCAGAGGGGCCUGGUUGUAUGAAAAUCUCAAUCAAGGAGGUCUACUCUGCCACAAACAAUCUAAAUGAGAAGAACAUCAUUGGUGAAGGAACAGCAGGUGAGAACCCAAGUGAAAGAGACAUGGAACUUGGUCUACCAAGCCACACUAAAGAGAAACAUCUUCCUUUUUGUUGCCCACUUUCCGCCAUUUUCUUUGACACUUUUUCUAAUAUCCUUUCACGGUAUUUGAAACAACAACAUCAAGGAAUGUAUCUAUGUUGUCUAGAAUGGGUCUUUGAGAAGUACUAAGAAUGAAAUUAUGAUAAAAGUCACAAUAGAUUUGUGUCUGUGUAUGCAUGUUUUUUAAGUUUGCAAGUGUGUGACCAACAUGAUCAUAACAUAUGGUUUUCAACUUUGACAUCUCGUUUGGAUGUUAUAUCAGGAAAGGUAUACAGAGGCAUACUACAAAACAAUCAACAUGUUGCAGUCAAGCACAUCAUCAAUGACAAUCAUAUGGAGACCUUUGUCAGGGAGAUCACAAGCUUAUCACACAUCAAACAUCCAAAUCUUGUGGCCUUACUGGGUUAUUGUGAAGUAGAAGAUGAGUGCUUCCUUGUUUAUGAACUAUGUCCCGAUGGAAACCUCUCAGAGUGGCUUUUUGGUAUCCCUUUUUCUUAUUAUGAAGUUAUUCUCUCUGUUUGAUUCCUUCAUUGCCAGUAAAUAUAAGUUGAUGCAUGACAGGGAAGGAUAAAGUCCUGUCUUGGAUUCAAAGGCUUGAGAUUGCAAUCGACAGUGCUCAAGGUCUUCUUUUCCUCCACACAUAUCCAGCAGGAUGCAUUGUUCACCGUGAUAUCAAGGUCCUUCCCAUUAGUAUAGUUCUUGCAUUUCUCAUGAAUAUAUCAGUAUGCAAUGCCUGUUGAUAGUUUUUUGUUCACAUCUCUAAUAAUACUAUAGGUUGGAUGGAUCUAAACUAUUACAGAAUCCAAAAAAACUCCAAACUAUAAAACAAUUUUGUGCCUUAUGCUUGACCAAGUUUUCUCUAGACGCUAUUCUUAUGUUUCCCAAUUAGCAGUAAUAUGAUAUAUGACACAAAAAGGGAAAGACUCCAGUCCACUGAUGAAAAUAGCUUUUAAUUCCUGCAGCCAACAAACAUUCUUCUUGGAGCAAACUUUGAAGCCAAGCUGUCUGACUUUGGAUUGUCCAAGGUUAUUGACCAGGGUGAAUCCCAUGUUAGCUCAGAAGUCAGAGGAACUUUUGGCUAUAUGGAUCCUGAGUACCAAUCCAACCACCAUGUCAACCCAUCUGGUGAUGUAUACAGCUUUGGGAUAGUGCUUCUUCAAAUCCUCUCAGGGAAGAAAGUUAUAAAUCUGAAUCUGAAGAAACCAAUGUCUUUAGAUAAAAUGGUAAAAAAAAUCACUGCCUGCAUUUGUUUUCCGAUUCUAAAUUCUCUUGACCUAUGAACUGCAAUUUUAUUCUUUUAUAUUUCUGCUGUCCAGGCCAAAAUCCUUACAAAAGAUGGAAGCAUAACAGAAUUUGUAGAUCCUAAACUUGAUGGGGAGUACUCAGCAGAAGCUUUUGACCUGAUACUUAAGCUUGCUCUCUCAUGCACAUCGCUUAAGCAACAACGGCCAUCUAUGGAACAAGUUGUUCUGAGGUUAGAAAAGGCCCUUGAAAUCUCAACUAUGGCAAAGGCUUGUACACCUCAACUGACACCAAAUCGUCUAUCAUCUGGAGAAAAGAGAUUUCUCGACGAGAUUCAUUGUUACAAUAAUAUCUUGUUUGACAGUACAUGAACAUUAGAAUACCAAAGCAUAUUUGUACCUAGUUUCAUAAUCAGAAGCUGAUUUAGAAUUUAAUGAUCCAGGAAUUGUGUAAUGAAUCAUAAAUCCAUGGAAUGGUGAUAUCCAUGGAACAACAUUCUGGUAGAGAAUUACUAGACAUUCAAAAUGGCAUUCCCUGAAUGCCAUGAAUCAUUUGACACUACUAAACAGCUUUUCCUUUCCAAUUCCAGACAUGGAAAAUUGACUCCCUGAGAUUAUCUAGGUAAACUCUUUAUUCAAAUUCCUGUUAUCAGUGUACUUAAUCAUCUAUCUGCACAUCCCAACUUGACUAAAAGAACAUAUCUAUAUACCUAUCUCUACCAAGAACAAUCUCACCAUUCAAUGCUACCUUCUAUAUUUCUUCUAGGAAACAAGGAAUGCCUCUCUUUAUGAUGAAAGCAGAAGGCAGAAGAGUUAGGAUCCUGUGACCACACCAGAUACUGGCAUUCUCCAUACAUCCAUCUGAGUCCCAUAUCUUUGUUCUUUUGAAGAAAAUUAGUCCAAGAUCUUAAUGAUUUGAUCCAAGAAUAUAUUUUGUUGGUUUCUUUAUAGCCUCUAAUUUACAUGUCUAAUUUCCACUUGCUUUGCUCAAGUUUCAAUAUUAGAUGCCAUAAUGAUCCCUUUGGACCUUGAAAAGGAGGAAGGAAAGAAAAAUUCUGAAAAUAGCUUCAGAAGAGAAUCCAUCUUUAAGCAAGCAUUUUUCCUUCCUCCCUCUGGAUUUUUGGAGAUGCAAAUGGAGCCUGUAUCACUUUAGAUUUGAUCUUUCAAAAAGUUAUUGUCAACGAUAAAUGACUAAACUAAAAUAUCCCUUUUCCAACCCUUUCUUUGCUUCAAACUUGGGGCUUUUUCUUGCAUCUCAAAGGAUGGAAAGGCAAGUAACUUAUUUCAUGAUGGUGGGCUAAUUCCAAUACUAGGAGACCAGUAAUCUCUGUUCUUAAACUCAAUGAUAGGUUCUGUUUACUGCUCAUAAUUGAAAAUGGUAUAUGAAAACUACAGCUAGAAACUUAUAACCAAGCCGGGUUUUUCAAAGGCGUAACAACAGCCUUAACUUGCAUGUAGUUACUAAGGCCAUAAAUUCCCUUUUCUCUGCCAUGCCCACUCAUCUUCCUCCCACCAAAAGGAAUUGCAGCAUCAAAGACAAAAAAGCAGUUAAUCCAUACUGUCCCAACUCUCAAAGCUCGAGUCAGAGUAUUGGCAGUGUCUAGAUUCUGAGUGAAAAUUCCAGCAGCCAGCCCAUAGUGAGUAGCGUUUGCCCUUCGGAUCACCUCAUCAAGAUCCCUGUUAUUGGUAAAAGCAUAAAAGCAGGUAAAAGGAGGGAAAAUCUUUUGAGAAUAACAAAACCAAGAUGAUUAAGAAGAUGCAUAGCUCACUUGAAUUUCAAGAUGGACUGCACUGGGCCAAAGAUCUCUUCUUUUGCUAUCAACAUAUUAUCCUGAUUGGCAUAAGGAUUAAAAUCAUGUUAAAAUUUCUUCCUUCUUGAAUACUAAUGUUAAGAGAGUUAUAGUACUCAUACAUGGACAUUUGAGAAGACAGUGGGUUGAAUAUAGUAGCCUUUGGAGCUGAAUUUUUCACCUCCAGCUUCAAGAGUUGCACCAGCUUCAAUACCAGAUUUUAUGUAACCAAGGAUCUUGUUGAAUUGCUGAGAAUCAAUCUGAAAUAUUUAAAAGGACCAAAACAAGGUAUCACUUUCUCAGCCUUGAUUUACUUGUAGCAUGUUUCCAAUCAAUAAGCCAAUUAGAAAAAUUUUUAAAAAUGAAUCUCCUCUAACUGAAUCAUUUCUUGUGUUUGAGCCCUUGGAAAAAAAAAGGGUUGGGAUUACCUGGGGUCCUUGUUCAACCCCCUUCUUGAAAGGAUCACCAACUACACGUUUCAGAGCACGUGCCUUUGCUUUCUCUAUAAACUCAUCAUAUAUGCUUUCGUGUACAAAUGUGCGUGACCCAGAACAGCAAGACUGUCCCUGCAGAUGAGAAUCAUCACAUGUCCUUUAGUAUCAAAAUCAUGUUCAAGAAAAAAUGUCAAACAAUUUCAGCUUGUUACUCAGAAACAUAUUUGAUAGAACAAAACCUGAUUAUAGAACAGAGCAGUGUGUGAAAGCUCAACAGCCUUAUCAACAUCAGCAUCCUCACACACAAUGAAGGGAGAUUUUCCUCCAAGUUCUAAAGUCACUGGCUUAAGAUUGCUCUUUGCAGCCAAUCCAAGUACAAUCUUACCAGUGCCAGUUGACCCUGUGAAAGCAAGCUGCAAGGUAAUAAAUGGUUUUAGGUCAAAACCGAUGAUAAACUACCUCCAGACUACAUAUAUAUUGCUAUUUAUAUUGUGGCAAGCUGAACCUAGCAUUUCAGGCUUAUCGGAUAUAAUUUCUAAUCCUGCAUUGAACUACACAUGGAAGGACAUCAAAUAGUGGUGACCCAAGACAAUGAUCACAGAAACCUGUCCCCAAUUAUCUUUGUGUCUAGAUUUUCUAGUGGAAUAUACAAGAAAUGAGCUUAUAGGCCUCACGGCAUAUUUGCAGCAAUCCUUUCACUUAUUUUUCCUUUGGUCUCAACCAAACCGGGGAAUAAAAUAUAUAUAACAGGUAUUAAAGCCCUGAGCAGGCCUCCUGGGAACAUCAUUGAGGCCAUUCCACUAUCCCUCCAAUAUUCAAAAUGAAGAUUGCCCAUCUCCUUGGAUAUCAUUUUCGGUUAGUCCCUUCUGAAAGCACUGAUUUGUGAUCAUCAGUGACGAAGAAAAGAUAUUGGAGGGACAAAGAGAUCCAUGUUAUAAUCCUUUAUAUUAAUCCAGAGAUCUUUGUCCCAGAUACAGAAACAAAAUCUGAAGCAUGCAAGGUACCUUGUCCACAUCCAUAUGACUAGAAAGAGCGGCCCCAGCUGUAGGACCAAAUCCGGAAACCACAUUUAAAACACCAGGAGGGAGUCCAGCCUGUCAAAGUUAAAACAAUUGAGAUUGAAAAUCAUCCCAAGGAAAAGAAUACUUGCUCAAUUUAAAGGAACCCAUGGUGUUUACAUCUUUGUUCACAUGUAAUUCACUUCUUUAAGCAUGUAGAAUUCACCUGAAUUCAUUUUGGAAUCUGUACAAGAAGAUAGAUAUUAUUUGUAUGUGUUAAAAUCUUGAGUCCAAGACUGCAAAGGCCCUUUAAACAUAAGGAAUUAGCGGAAUGUGUGCUUAAAUCACACCAGGUUCUUUAAGGAUUUCUAUGUCUAGGUUGCCUCUACAUACUCCUAUUUUUGGACGGAGCACAAUAAAACUCAGGGAGAGGAAUUAUUCAAAUGUUUCUUGUCCUGGUUAGAUAUGAUAGGAGGUGAAUUAUUGUCAACUUUAAUACAAGACAAAUGAAAUUCACGAGCUUUACCUCAUAGAGAGAGAGAGAGAGAAAGAGAGGCUACCUCAUAUAACAGCUUGGACGCAUAGAGGGCAGAUAAUGGUGUCUGCUCUGCAGUCUUUAAUACAAUAGUGUUACCACAUGCUAAUGCGGGCCCAACCUUCCAACCAUACAAUAAUAGAGGAAAGUUCCAAGGAAUAAUCUGCCCUGCAACACCAAUGGGUUCAUGGAGGGUUUGGACAUGGUGCAGCCCAUCAGCAGGAACUGUGAGACCAUGAAUCUUAUCUGCCCAGCCUGAAGAAUAUAGAGAGUGUGAGGUAUUUGAAUGCCAAGCAACAGGUGCAUAUCAACUAUUUUUUUCACUUCCCUUACCAGCAUAAUAUCGAAAUACGCGAAUCACCAUUGGUAUUUCAACAUUUGCAGCUUGUUCAUAAGGCUUUCCAUUAUCCCAUGAUUCAAGGGCUGCAAUUUCACUACAGUGCUUUUCAAGCAAAUCAGCAAAGCGAAAAAGUAUGCAUGAUCUUUCCUGGCCAUAUUUAGCAACAAAGAGUGAGGCAAGAUAUUUACAUAUCAGAAAUCCCCAGAAAACAACAACAAUUCUAGAAUUUGAACCAAUGAAAAAAAGGGGAAAUAAAGAAGGGCAUGUAUUUACAUAAGGGGUCAUCUUUGGCCAUGGUCCCUCAUCAAAUGCUUUGCGAGCAGCAGAGACUGCCCUGUUUAUAUCUUCAGCCUCACCUUCAGCAACAUGAGCAAUCACAUCCCCUGUUCUUGGAUCCAAAGUUGGAAAGGUUUUCCCUAAUGUGACAGAAUGCAAUGCCUUAUUAAGGUGAUCGAAGUUGAACAGUAUAUAGUCAAAUAUACAGCAAGCGAAAAGGCUAACACACUAGCCAGGAAUCAAACACCCACCCGAUGCCGCAUCAACGAAUCUUCCAUUGAUGAGGAGCUGAGUAUAAUCUAUUUGAACUGGUGGAGUUAUCGGUUCCUCCUCAGUUGCAACAGCUGUGCUAAACCGGCUACUGCCUCUACCCCAUCUAGAAUACCGACCUGAAAAUUUGUUUUCCAGUCACUAAACUGAAAUUCACGAAGGCCCACUCUUCCCCCACCCAAAUUCUUAUAUCAACCACAUGGAAGUAUGGAAGAAUUCAAGGGAAGGGAGUGUUGCAGGUAGGGAAGAGAAAGGACAAAUAAUUUUCCACUCAGGGCGAAGGCCAUGGAGAGAAAUUCACUACCCUAAAGUCCAGAAACCAUUAGAACUCCAAAUCAAGAAAAAAAAAACCCAUAGCUUUUCCAUAUGAGGCCUGUGGCUUCAAGAGCUCCUUAAAAGAUUAAACAAAAACGAAACACUUGGUAUUUUUUCUUCAAAACAGAGCUUCAGCUAAAUAGUUACAUAAACUCCAGUUAUACAACCAUGAUGAGCAAAAGAACUACAUGAUCAGACACAUAGAAAUAUGCAUGUGGACUGAGAAAAACUAAGAGCAUCAUGGGUGUACCAAAAGAACGUAAAGAAGCAGCAGUGGAAGAAGCAGAGAGCAGAGAAAAUAUCCUGGGAGCAGCCAUCGCUAGUGAAUACUGACUCCUGAAGGUUUUCAAUCAUACAAAUCCUAGUAUUUUCUUGUCUUCCAAGAAAGUCUAAGUUCACCACAGUGUUGCAAUUUGCAAUAACUUCUGAGUGACACCACCAAAGAUGGAGUCUAUGUUUGGACAUGAAACCAAAGGUGGAAAAAUGGAGGCUUAUUCUACUGUAUUCUCUUAGCGAUCUUGCCUAAAUUGCAUGAAGCAACCCUCCUUUUUUUGUGCAACCAAAUAAGGUAAGAAGUGUAGUAAAAAAAUGUGUCAAAAUAUAACAUACUUUUUCUAUUCGUCCAAUUAGAAGUGAUUUUGAAAUAGUUAAAAACACUUAUUAAUAUUUAGAAGUUCUUUGGUACGAUUGACAUCUCUUUAAAAGUCACUAUUUAAGCAUACGACAUAUUAUCAAAAAAUACUUUUUUUUUUGGUUCAUUUUCAAAUAUUUUUAUGAAUAUGUUUAACAGUAUUUUGAUUCAAAGUAUUUUUAUUGAAAGUGUUUUUCAAAAAAUUAUUGAUUAAGUGUUUCUUUAGAAAAAUAUUAUUAAUGAUUUUCUAAUACUACGAGUGAUUUAUAAUAUUUUUAAAAAUUAUCGUUAAAUGCACUUUAAUUCUAUAUGAAAGUGUUUUUAGAGGAAUGCUAUUGAUAAAAGUGAUAUAAGAUAAUAAUGCAUUUUAAAAGAAAUGACUCCCAAAGCUUAUUUUAUGUAGUUAUUAUUGAUAACCCUGUAUUACAAUUUACAUCAAAAUAAGUGAGAAUUUUCAAAAUGCACGUAGCAAUUAGGGUUUUGUUUGAUUGAUUAAUUGUGGGCCAAAUGACAUGACAUGCAUGAUUUCAUGAUGGGAUGACCAUCUGAAAGUGACACCCCCAUUGAGGUUAGUAGGUGGAUGUGGCCAAAUGACAUGCAUGAUUUCAUGAUCGGAUGACCAUGUGAAAGUGACCCCUCAUUGAGGUUAGUAGGUGGGUGAACUUUUUCAAGAGGCUCAUCUCUCCUUGGGAGAGAUACAAGUUUUGAAUUCGUCGUAUGUUCAAAGGGAGAGGUUAGACACCCCUGCAAAUCUUGUCCUUUUUUGGGAAAAAGGAAACCACUUGUUCCAUGAUGCAAGUCCUUUUGCCAAAAGAUAAACACCCCAUCUUAUCAUGGAAUCAUGCUUGAUGAGUUUAUCACAUUAAAAAAAAAAAAAAAAGCUUAAUUAAAUAAUUUUUUAUGUUCUACAAAAUUAAAAAAUAAAUAAAAAAGUACCAUGUUGGUUUGAUGAUUGGACUUGUUAUUUUCUUUUAUACCAUCCAUUUGAUCUAACUUUUUGUUUGAUUGAUGCAAAUAUUAGAUGGUUUUGAGGAUUUUUGGUAAAUAUUUUUUUCACAAUUAUUUUUUAAAAUGGUUUAUAGAAAAAUAUAUUUCAUAAUAAAAAAAAAGGAAAGCGUUUUCUAUUAUUAAAAAUAGAAAAGAUAGUAUUUUAAAUUUUAACUUAUUUUUUUAAGAAUUGUUUUAAAAAAUAAUUAAAUAAAUAUAAAAAAUGAUUAAAAAUGAAAUAGUAUAUAUAAAAAAUAUUUUAAAAAUAUAGAAAAUAAAUUCAAAAACCUUUUAUGUUCUAAAAUAAAUUUUUAUUUUAUAAAACACCAAAGAAUAAUCAAAAACUAUUUUCGAAAACUUAUGAAAAGGAGUUUUGGCUUCUAAAAUAAAAACUCCAACAAAAGCUAAGGAUAUAUGGGUGCACUGUCAAUCUUUUAACUUUUGUUUUUAUUCUUCUUCUUUUUUCAAUAAAUUUUAAAAUGGAAAAUUAUUGGCUCAUUUCUUUUACAAUUUGGAACAAUUUUUUCCUUUUCAUUUUGAACACUUGCUUACAUCAAACUUGUAGCCACUAGCCUGUGAGUGCCAGUAACUAAUAGAGGUGAUACUGCACACAACUAUUUGAUAUUUCUUCCAAACAAGGUCAUAUGACAGAGAGUAGAGAGGAAGCAUGGCAUCACAGCCAUAGAAAAAGGUUGAAAAUUUCUUAUGUCACCAAUGUUAAGAGGAAUCAGAUCAAUUGCUUGCUUAUCACAGCAUAAUUUUACAUCACACAGAAACUAACUUUCAGCAGAUGAAGGAAGCAGAGUUGGCUGUUUUCUCAUCAAUUGGUAGUCAUCCAAGCUGUAUGCAUUUGGGUUCUGUGAAUACAGUACCUGACAAGUGAUGACGAUUCAAAUUUUGAUCAUUUUCCAUAGAUUCAAUCAUUCAGGAGCCCGCAAUACAGAACAGACAGCUUGUAUUUCAUGUGGGGUUAAGGAUAUGUCAAGGUUUGGGCUGAAACAAUAAUGUUUUAUCGACUGUAAACUUUGUCUGAUUCACAUCUCCAUUCAAUAUAGUUAGAUGUUCAGAGUCAUCAAACAUGAACCCAGGAAGCCAUGAUCAAGCAGAAGUUUUGAGGAAUUUGUUAGCCUUGUAAGUAUGAAUGUACUCAUAUUCAACAGUUUAAAUCUGUCAGAGAAUGGUAUACAAUCUGUAAGGAAGAAUUAGUUUUGCAAUUAUCAGGAGGAGAAACAAGAAAGGCACAAGGAGAAGAGAAUUGGGAGUGUGACAUACAUUACUAGUCUAUGGUAAAAUUUACACAAAAGUUGUAAAGAAAAUCCUAACUGAUCUCUUGUUAGCUCCUUCAAUCUUUUUCUGAUCAACUGGUUCUUGUACUAACUAAACAUCCUCAUGGCCUACAGAAAAAUCAGGUUCAUCUGGCUUUAGCAGCCGGGGCAUCUUCAAGCUAGGAGCAGCAGGCUCUACCACCCGAACCUCCUGAGCAACCCCUCUUCUUGUAUUUGCAGCAAAUUUUGAAGCUAAAAUCGUGGCACCAAGAUGUUGAACAUUGUUUGGAUUGUCUGUUAAUGCGCUCUCGUCUCUUCCAACCACAAAAUUUCCAUCUGAUGGCUCAUCACUGAGAUUAUACUCUUGAUCAGGGAUCAGCAUAUAGUUGUAGCUCUCUUGUCUAGCCAACUCCUUUGCCAGCUUUCUCUUUUUAUAUCUUCUCCAAGCAUCUUGUAAAUAGCAAGUACCCCAUGUCCUCCAUUGUUGAGAAUAGUACCUGAAGGCAUGCUGGAGUUUCUUGUUGUGAAGUCGCCUGAACUGACUUGCAACAAAUUUGAGGUCUUCAGCUGUUAGUGCAAAAGCUUCAACUUCACAAAGAGACCUUACAGUUCGAGUAGAAGACGGCAAGUUUAUGCUCGGGUUAGGCAUUAAGGCCCAUGUCAGUAAUUCCUCGCCACAGAAGUCACCAGGUCUAAGGGUGAUGGAGUUGAAGAAUCCUGAUCUUCCCCCAUUGGUUGUGGAGCUCUCCAGUUGUCCUCUAAUGAUAAACAGCAUCUCAUUUACUGGAUCACCCUCUCGAAAGAUAUAGGUGCCUUCAGUACUCAAGGAUGAGGUGAGGCGUUCGCAAAUGGCAUCAAGAAGCUGGUCAUCCAUUUGUGCAAAGAAAGGCACCUGUAAAACAAAACUAGGCAAUUAUGGACCAGAGAAUAAUUCUGCAUAGAGAGAAAGCUAAUAGUUUUUAUAAUCAAUUUGAACAAUCUGAUGCUUGUAAUUAAGCUCUAGCUGUGUAACGAAUCUAACAAUGAACACAAGAUAUUUGCCAUAUUACAUAAAAUGAUGUUUUCUGACAAGCAACGUGCUCUGUUACAUUUGAUAGGGUGGAGAAGCAAGUAGCUUGCAUGGAAUCAAAAUGUUUAAAAAUAUAUUUGCAAUAAGAAACUCUUGCCAUAUUAGAAGGGGGCCUAUACUGCAUAACACAAAAUGGGAUUCCAAAGAAGCAGAAUCCCUUUUGCCCUAAAAGGGGAGGCCUGUAAAUACAGUGUAAUGGUUGUAAAAAUCAUAGACCCAAAAGAACAUCUUAUAUGCAUGAUUAGAAAGGAUAAAUCACAAAUAAAAUACCAAGGAAGACAUACACGGCGGACAAGGCCAAGACAUAGGUGCCUUUGUAUUUCACGACGGAGAUCCAGGGGCAACCAAUGCAAAAUUGAUUCUUCAUGAACUCCUCUUGUUGCAAGCCAUUUGUACUGCACAAACCGAUGUACCCGUUCUUGCAAAGCUGGAGGCAAUUGACGGUGCCUCAUCCACUCCUCUGUAUCUCUUCGCUUAACCCUCCAUUCUUCAAGUCUUACCGUCAUAGAUUGCAAAUAGGUCUUGAGGAAGGGAAAAAAAACUAAUUCAUUAGUAAAAGUAUUUGGGCCUACUAACAUUCAUAAAGAGUCUGCAUUAGGGUAUAGUGCCUGCAAGUCCAACCUUACCCAUCAGAAAUCCUCAAAUCUUCUCCACGUUGAAUGAGACUAAUGCAAUUUUUAUUUUCAGUACCUAAAACCCCACUAGCCUGGGCAUUGACAACUCCUUGAUUUGCUAGAAAAAUUGAUAUGGAGAAAUGGAUAUGGAAGAGCAAGGCUUGAUUUGCUAGAAAAAUUGAUACGGAUAAAUGAAUGUGGAAGAGCAAUUCUCAUGUUCCAAUGCCUUCAAUCCACCAUCAAGUUGAUCCAUUCUUUGUUAUUUCAUUUUUGCUAUUUCAACAUGCAUGCAGCAAAAGGAAAAAAACAGGACAGACAUAAAGAGAUGAUGGAGCUCUAAUGACUAAAGUGGAUAACAGUAUCUGACUAGGUGAGGACCCUUUCCAACCCCAUAAGAUAGCCUCGUAACUUAUCUGCAAGGUGAAGAUCAGUUGUUUACGAAGAAUGGUCACCUCAAGAUCCAUUACACCUUCCUUUUUCCUAAUUUACUCACGAAUUAGGUGGUGGGUCCAUUUUUCCAUUUUUCCAUUUUCUUGCAUUUUCUUAGUCAGGAAACAAGAAGAAGAAGAAGCUAGAAAAGGAGGCAGAAAAUAGUACCUGCAUGUUUCCAAUCAACUGUGAAAAUAGAACUAAACCCCCAAUGCAUAUAACAAUGCAAAAUGUUGUCUCGCCAAUAUAAAUGCUUGUUUCCAAAGUCUGUCCAUAUGAACUGCAUUACAAAACUAAAGGCUAUAUUAGUAUGAACACAAAAUUAAACAUUUUAAUCAAAUCAUUAAUUAUCUUGAAAAACAUUAGUAUGAAAUGAAAAGAUAAGACAAAAAGGUGGUACCCAAUGCAAUCAGUCACAUGUGGUACCCAUGACAUGUGUACGUCGGGAGAUUAAUUUAAUCAAUUGAACAGAAAAAUAACCUGAAAACUCAACUAAAAUUGCAAUGGGUAAUUUCCUGAAGGCAAAACUAAUCUAAUGUAGUAUGUGAUAGAAAUAAUCUCAUGGAUAAGCAAACCAUUCAACAAAGAGAAGAACAAUUAAAUGUUGCAUAACUAAUUAGCCGAAAAAUUCUAUUAAAGAUAUUUCAAUGUAGCAUUCAUAACAACAGUUUACAUUAAAAUAUAUGGUAGUUGCACACUUCUACGUGUACUAUAGUCUAUUGGCUAAGGCUGAUAUUGAAACAGAAAACAUCUAACAUCCAAAAUCUACAAGUUCAUACCUUAAAUUUUUUAAUCCCCACCAGAGGCAAUACAAGUAUUUCUCAAUAAAUUUUGAUGAAGCAACAUCAUUAGUAAAAGCAUCUGCAAACAUUCCAAACUUAAAUUCUGUAUCAUGCCCUCUAGCAUCACAAUUAGCAACUACUCGAGUAGCAUUCAUCCAAUACUGCCGUUCUUCUAGUUCCAAACUUUUACAGUCCAGAAAACUAGGGAGACAAAAUGAAAUUCCUGCUGCACUUUCUUUUGCACACUCUGCUUUCCAGCAGGCGUGCUGUCGGCCCAUGGACAAUAGAUACCAAGAAGCUCCUAAUACCUGCACCAACAGAAAAUGGGUAGAACCAUCUAGAUUAAGUGUCAUAAUUACUUAACCGCAUUGUAUUUUGAGGUUGUGAUGUUUCAAUUAGUUUUACUUAGUUAAAGAGAACAAAACAGUGGAGUAAGGGUCUAUUGGGAGACUGGAUCCUUACAUGACUGGCUAGCAUGUAAAGAAGGAGAUUGUAAGCAGCUCCUGCCCAAGCAGUCUUAGCAACAACUCCUGUAGUUUUUAUGAUCCGCCGAUUCAAAGGGAAAAUAAGGAACAGUCUAGGAACAUAUUGAAUGAGUACAAUGAGAGCAAGAGUGUUGUUGGUCUGAUCUGCUCUGUCUUUUUUUGUUGCAGGUAUUACCAACCAGAUGACAAUCUGCAAAAUAGAAGGAAACAAAAAACUGAACUCCCAAAGACGUGCUGUAAGAAUUGUGAGAACCAUAGACACAAUAAAACCAGAUCUUAGCCUAAUUAAGCAUAAGUGUCAAGUGUUCUUUUUUUUUUUUCUUUUUUUUCUUUUUUUUAAUUAAUUAAUUUUUUAUAUUUAGAAAAGGUAAUGUUCCAACAUCUAUUCCCCUUCAGCAAGGAAAAUUACAUGACAUGCUGCCAAAAUCCAAAUACCAGAAGACUUGCAAAAAUGAAUUACUUUUCCUUUUCUGGAAAACUUUUAAGAAAGAUUCUAAAUCCAAUACACUUCUCCACAUUAUUUCACUCUGCAUUUUGAAUCUCACAUCACUAGCUCAUUCUCCACUCAUCUUUUUCCUUUGCAUCUUUUAAUUGUGCCAUAGGAUUCUAACCUCUGUAUUUACCAUGUGAAUGAACAAUCAUCUUCAGAGCUGACUAGUGAUAGCACCCUCUCUUAAAUUUAAAAUGUCAACUAACAAUGGCUACCUAUCUAUGUAAGACCAAAGAAAACUACCAGAAGCCCCCUUUCAGAAAGGAAAACAACUUUUAUUGAUGAAACAAAGUAGCAAAUAAGAGUUUUUCGGUGGUUACCCUAGAAGGAAAAUCAAAUUAAUAAUCACAAUAGCAUUCCUAGUGAAGAUGGUAUGUGGUUUUAGAAAGAGCAGCAUGUUCCCGGGAUUGAAUGGCUAAACAGAAAAUCCAAGGGAAAGAGAAAUGAAAUUUCCAAGGGUUCCCUAUGAAAUUUUAAGGGAUAACUUGACCUAUUGUGCUUUUUGUCUAAAAUUUCAGAUUUCAACUUCAAUUUCUUGCACACAAAUCAAUGGAAUCAUCAAGCUCUCUUGCUUUCCGAAUUGUUUAACUCAACCCCAUCAACAAAGUAGUCAGCUGAACCCUAACCCAAAGACCUAACCCUAAACCAAUUAAAUUCAAUUCAAUGGAAAACACAAUUACCAACGUGCCUGAGGAAGCGGUAGAGUGGCAGCUAAAUCAAUAAUAAAAUCAGACUUCAAGUAACGCAUAGCGAUCGUGUGAGCAUCCAUAACCAGCUCACCGCGACCAAGGCCUCUCGAACUGGGAGCCACGAAAGCAGUCCGAAACUUCAUCACCAUAUGCAGCAAGUAAAAGAGAUCGGAAACAGUACGGAAGAAGGUAACAACAAUGCCGAGGCUGGUGUCACUGGUGAGGCAGGCAGGACCGCCGACGGAGGGGAGGAAGAAGUAGAGAGGGUCGAGGAAAAGGGAAAUGAGAGAGGUGACGAGGAAGACGUGGUUCCAAUAAGUGACGAUGUCGCCGUCGGGCUCGAGAAUUUGGUAGCGCCAGAGAAUGUGGUAGGGGUUGAGGUCGGAGGUGAUGGGCGCGUAGGAGGGUCGUCGCCGGAAGGGGCGGAACUUGGAGGCCGGCGUGAGAAUUGCUGUAUUCAUCUUCCAUAGCGGAGUCCGGUGAUUCGGAAUCCGCUUAGAGAGAGCAGAGGAUCAGAGGAGAAACAUUGAAGAAAAAGAAUAAGACGAGAAGGAGAAGGAAGAAGGAAGAAGGCGGUGUUUCAGCAAAGGUGGGUGGUUUGGGAUGGUGGUUAAGGGGUGGUUUUUGACCGUUGAGGAUUUCGCGGGAAGCCUAGGAAAGCGCAUGGACUUCGGUGCUCCAAGUCGGUAUGACCGCUAAAUAAAAGGGCAUAGCUCUCCCGCAACAAAGAUAUUUUUGUCUGUUCAAACUUAAAUAAACUUUCUGAUAUUAAGCAAUUAAAAAUAUACCGUGUAAGCCUCCAACCAAAGAACAUAAGCAUCAAGAAAAGGCCACGACGCCUGCAACCUCUGCUAACAUAUGCUGAGACCCCUAAUGCUAUAACCCCUUGCUUCUCUUCCAAGACUGACAUCACAAUAUAGCAUUCCACUCCAUGUGUUUUGCCAACCAAGCUAUGGAGAGCAACCCAAAGAAGACUCUGAUCUGGACAGCUCCUGAUGUCAUGCAUGUAGAAGUGUGCUGCCAAGGAAACCAAUUCAAGCAAAGAAAGGGAAGACAGUAGAAGGGCAUAAAUGGAUGUGAUAAAAGGCCCUUUAAGACUCACUCCUUUGAUGGAUCUGUACCACCUCUCCUUUAGAUUCAUGCGCUUCCCUCCUGCAUAGAUCAUUGAUGCUGAAUUGACAAUUAUGACUGUACUGAGGAGAUCAAGAAGAUGAACAAUCCCCAAUUAUGAGAGGCUCAGUAAAAGAUACCUUGCAGGGACCUUUUCAAUCAUUUCUUUGAUUGUAUCUAGUGGAAUAUUGUAGAAUUUUGGCUGCUUCAAUGGGGGUUCGCUCAAUGAUGAUUUCAUGUGCUAGUACGGAGCAAAACAAAGGGAGAGAAGUGAGAAAGGUGAGAAAGAAUGAUGAAGCUGGGAUUUUUGUAAGGGAUUGCUAAGGAAUAAGGAUUCUUUGAGUAUCCCAAACAAUCCUAGCUUCUCUUGCAUGAUGAUUUGGUUGUUCUCCAUCUCUUUUGUUGAUUUCCUCUAUUCCAUAUUUUCCCUUUUAAGUGUAGUGUCGUUCAGUAAAAGAAAGCUCAUUCACAGAUACUUGUGAAAAUGCCACCGUCAACAUGCUCCAAAAAAGUCUAGAGCAAAUCUCACAGAAGCCGACUUCCCUCCAGUGUUCACAUGUAGUAGAUGAAACUGAUAUCACACUUAAUUACUUUGAGGAGGAUGGAAAAUCCAAGCUCUUGGUUUGGUUCACAAUGCCCAGAGAUAGUCAGAUUGCUUUAGUUUCCAAUAAGGUUUGAAAUAUUGGUAAACACGGAUAUAUCAGUCCUUGAAUUUUAUGGAUGUAUCGAAAAUAUUGAAGAAAUAACGAUGGAUAUUUUGACAAGAAUAUCGAUUGAACAGAAAUUGUUCAAAUUCAUAAAAAUGCUUAAAAAACUUAUUUUAUAAAUGUAAUUGACAUAGGUAUAAACAUAAGUAUAAUUAAAGAUAAUAUUUAUCAAAUUUUUAUAAUAAAAAAAAUAGCUUAAAUUCCUUUAAUAUAUUCAUGUUCAUUUAUUUUAAAAUUUUAAAAAUAUUUUUAUUAAAAAAUGUUUUAGUAUAUUUUAAAUAAAAAAUUAAAUUGAUUUAUAUAAAAUAUUUUAUUUGAAAUUUAAUUUCUAAAAUUUUAUUACUUGUGGUGACAUUAAAAUUAUUAAAAUUAUAUUAAUAAUUUAUCUUAUCAAAUUAAUUUUAAUUUAUAAAAUAUUAAAAUUUCAUUAUUAUUAUUUUAUAUUUUAGCAAAUUUUGAAUUAAUUUGUAUUUUUAAUAGUUUAAAAUUAAAUAAAAUUAAAAGGAUAAAUAUAAAACAAUUAAAAGUGAAAUGAUAGUAAUUUUUUAAAAUAGGAUGUAUGAUUUUUUUUUAAAUAUUUAUAUAUUUUAUAUUUAAUUAUCAUAUAAAUGAUGUAAAAAAACUUGUUAAGAAAAUUCUAAUAAUGGUUUUUAUGUUUUUGGUAAUCAGUUAAAUAAAAUUUAAAAUAAAAUAAUUAAAAUUAAUUUAUUUAUUAAAAUUUUCUUCUAAUAAUAAAGUUUAAUAUAUUAAUAUGCAUGUUUAUUAACAAGGGCACACUUGCCCCAGUGGUGGCCAGACUAAGCCCCUAACAUUUGGGCCUGUUCGAACCCCCACGCUGCAAUUUGACCGAAGCCACAGCGCGCAAUGACCGGCAGAAAUAAAAGACCGACUUUGGGGUCACUGGUUACCAACACCGUAAACAACAUUACCUUGCUGGAGAAGUUAGCAUAGACUACAUCGAUUUGCAGAAGACUUGGAAAAUAUGUGGUCAUCCUCUACCUUUAGUCAUGCCAAUAGUCUUUGUGGGGUGUAUCUGACGUUUCUUGUUGAGGAAUCAACCUAAAGCUUUUCCCAUUUCUCCAACUAUUUUCUUCAAUCACAAUUUUUUAUAUUUGAGGUUGAAUAUAGAAGUUAGAACAUGAGGCUCUGGGGGGUGCUUUGAUUAUAAUAAAAUGGAGUAUCAACCCAAUAGUUUUUACUUCUGAAAACUCACUGCAAAUGAGUGGUGGGUGGUGGCAUGUUACUGGGUCUCUGCCUUGAACUGCACACACACCCGAGGGAGGGUCUUUCACCUUUCAUAUGACAGUAUGGGGUUUUUUCAUCCUGCUUAGUUAACAUCUGUUCCGCUGAAUGCGCUUUUAGAUCCACUGAUUGGAAAUCCAAGCUAUUGGAUUGGUUCACAAUGCCCUGAGAUUGGUUUAGUUACCAAAACCUUGUUCAGUAACACCAUCACCCCAUAGGACACAGGGAUAUAAACUGUAUCCUACUUGGCUUUCAAGCUUUUGCCAUUUCUCCUAUUAAUUCACAGAGUUGAAGAAUAUACUAGAGAAUUUCUUUCAUCAGUGACUUGGCCCCUAGCAUUGUAGGAGUAGUGGUUUGUACUAAAGUUUUGUUCUGAACAAUGUUUUCUGAUUAGAUGGUAAUUAAUUCAGGGCAGAAGAAUGCUGCUAAACAAAGGGAGAUACAAGGAAGGAGGGGCCUCGUGAAGUCAAUGUAGUCAGGUUAGACAACUUUGAAUAUCAUUCCACACUCUCAAAUAAUUAAAUGGAUGCAUGUGGUGGGGGUCCAAGAUAUGGUCCUUUGCAUGUGAUUUUCUGGCCCAUGUUUAUGACCUAUAACAUGUGGUUUCUGGGUAUGUUUUGAUUAUAAUAAAAGGAGCAUCUAUCAAAUAAUUUUUCUUCUGAUUCUCACCCAAGAUGUCUGGUGGGUGGAUGCAAUGGAUUGGGUCUCUGCCUUGAAAUGCGCACACACACCCUGGAGUAGGUUCUUUCACCCUUCAUAUAACAGCCAAUCAUGUACUGAUGUCCAUAUCAAAAUAUCUUGCCAUUUAGGACAUGAUGAACAGUCUCAAUACCCCACUUCUUGGUAGGCUAGUUUUAACAUUUUCUCUGGUUUCUUGAUAUAUUUAUAUCAAAGCACAGCAGACGCAUACAAAUUUUAGAGGAAAAUUAUAAAUAAUAGAAGACUUGAAAGCAAGACAGAGAUUGUAAUCUGUUUGGUUCUACAAGGAAGCAGAUUAUAGACUUAUUUUUCCAUGAUUUCUAUGCGCUUUUGUAAGAGAAUUCAUGACCUUCAAAAUCAUACAACCUCAUCAAACAGUAUUAGAUCUCAUUUUACAUAUUUCCCAUCUGUUACAGUAAAUGCAGUUGUGGAUCCACUAAUCCAGCCUCUAAAUCAACAACUACUUAAGAAUUUGCAUGAGUUGGCAUUCUGAACCAUAAAUUCAAAGCAUACUAACUUGAUAGAAAAUGUUUUUGCAGCAAAUAUGUGCCUUGUAGGAAAAUUAAUUUCAUAAAAGCAUACCAAGACCACAAAACCAAUCUGGAAUCAGGCAUUGUAUUUUACCUUGAAGCCUUUUUCAGUUUAUUUCAGAGCUUCAGCUGCACUCCCUUGCUCCACAUCAACCUUCUUCUCCAAAAACCGCCUUUUACAGUCAUAGAAAUAAACCAUGAAAGCCACCCACUUCAGCACAUUCCCAAAGCAAACUAAGCUAACUUGCACAGCCGUUACUACAAUUCCACUUCCUCCCUCAGACCAUCCCACAUACAGGCAUGAUAGUCUUAGAGCCAGCCUCCAAACAAAGAAAAUAAGCAUCAAGAAAAGGCCACGACGCCUGCAACCUCUGCUAACAUAUGCUGAGACCCCUAAUGCUAUAUCCCCUUGCUUCUCUUCCAAAACUGACAUCACAACACCCAUGUUCCAUAUAGCAUUCCACUCCAUGUGUUUUGGCAACCAAGCUAUGGAGAGCAGCAACCCAAAGAAGAUUGUGAUCAGGAUAGCUCUUGAUAUCAUGUAGAAUUGUGUUACCAAGGAAACCAAUCCAAGCAAAGAAAGGGAAGACAUUAGAAGAGCAUAAAUGGAUGUGAUCAAAGGCCCUUUAAGACUCACUCCUUCCAUGGAUCUGUGCCACCUCUCCUUUAGAUUCAUGCGCUUCUCUCCUGCAUAGAUCACUGAUGCUGAAUUGACAAUUACGAUUGUGCUGAAGAGGUCAAGAAGGUGAACAAUCCCCAAAUAUGAGAGACCCAAUAAAAGAUACCUAACAGUGACCUUUUCUAUCAUUUCUUUGAUUGUAUCUAGGGGAUCAAUCACCUGAUACCAGCAUAAUGACACACCAUUAUCACCAACGGAACAUGUUACUUUGUAGGAAUCUUCUUGUGGUCGAUAUUUGGCCGUUUCAAUGAGGGUUUGCUGGAAGAUGAUUUCAUGUGCUAGUAAAGAGCAAAACAAUGGGAGAGAAGUGAGGAAGGUGAGGAUGAUGAAGCUAGGAUUUUUGUAAAGGAUUGUUAAGGUUUCUUUGAGUAUCCCAAACAAUACAAGCUUCUCUUUCAUCAUAAUUUGGUUGUUCUCCAUCUUCUUUUUUUUAUUUCCUCUAUUCUAUGUUCUCCCUUUAAGCAGAGUGUUUUUCAGGGAAAAUAAAGCCUAUUCACAGAGUGGAAAUGGUCAACAUGAUUGAAAAGUCUUGUGGAAAAGUCACAAAAGCUGACUUGCCCACUAGAGUUCACAUAUUGUAGAACAUCAUUACCACACUAGAGACGUUAGCAUAAUUUAAAUCAAUUUGCUGAAGAACUUACACCAGAAGACUUGGAAAAUAGGUGGUCAUCCUUUACUUUUAAUCAUGUCAAUAUAUAAUUGUCUGUGGGUGCGUGACUCGUUGUGGGGUGUAUUUGAUGUUGCUUGUUGAGGGAAGCAGAAUAUCACAUUCAAAAAAUUAUUUUCAAAGUGCAUAGAACUAGGAUUCAACAAUGACAUUAACUUAAAAAAAAAAAAAAAGGUAAAUGGUGUUCUCAGAUUUGACGGGCUUAAAAAAAAACCAGCCCGUCAAUUAAGAUUUGACGGGCUUCAGUGAUGGUGUUCUCAGAUUCGAGGAAGGUGAUGGCUAGGGAAGUCAAUAUAAUGAAGUAGGACAACUUUGGCGACUUUGAAUGUCAUUUAUAGUUCACACUUUCAAAUAAGUAAAUGGAUAUGGUGGGGACCUAAGCUACAGUCCUUGCAUGUGAUUGGCAGGCUUGUGUUUGAAUAUAGAAGUUAGAGCAUGACCUAUUCCAUCUGGGCCCUGGGGGAUGCUUUGAUUAUAAUGAAAUGGGUAUCAAACCAAAAUAGUUUUUUCUUCCCAAACUCACCGCAAAUGAGUGGUGGGUGGUGGCAUGCUACUGGGUCUCUGCCUUGAACUGCACACUCACCCCAAGAAGGUUCUUUCACCUUUCAUGUGAGAAGUAAUCCAUUUGCAAUUUGGGAUAUGAUGAGUAGUCUCAAUACUCCACUUGUUGGGAGGCAAGUUUUUGACAUGUUAUCUUGUUUCUCAAUAUAUUUUGUGGGCAAUUACUUGCAUGAGAGUAUCUUAUUACCGAGAUCACAGAACUAAUCUGGAGGCUUGGCUAGUUACAUUUGGCAUUUUUGAGAAGCUUCAGCUGCAUUUCCUUGCUCCACAUCAACCUUCUUCACCAAAAACCGCCUUUUACAGUCACAAAUAAGCAUGGACGGAUCCAAUUCUACUCCCUCCUCCAGACCUUCACCUCCUCACCCAGAAUCAUGAUAAUUUUACAAAAAGCCUCCAAACAAAGGGGACAAACAUCAAGAGAAGCCAGCGUUGCCUGCUGCCUCUGCUAACAUAUGCUGAAUCCCCUAAUGCUAGAUGUCUAUGAGCACUCCACUUCAUGUAUUUUUGUUAUCUAAGCUAUGGAGAGCAGCCCAAAGAAGACAGUGAUCAAGAUAGCUCUUGAUGUCAUGCAAGGAAAACCAAUCCAAGUAAACACAGUCAAAUGGGUGCGAUCAAAGGCACAUUAAGACUCACCCUUUGAUGGAUCUGCAAAAUCGUUUCCUUAAGAUUCAUGGGGUUUGCCUCCUGUAUCGAUCACUGAUGCGGAGUUGACUAUUAAGAUCGUGUUGAGAAGGUCGAGAAGAUGGACUAUACAGUCUAUACCCAAAUAUAAGAGACCCAACAAGAGAAAUCUUUAAGAAACAAUUCGUUUCUAUCCUUUGAUCCUACCUACUGGACCAUGAAUUCAAACAAAGCAUGAUCCCAGGAAACAAAUAUGAUGCGGCAAGAAGCAUGGCACAAAACUAGAAUCAUGACAAUCAUAACGUGUUAGAAUUGUAGUCAUUUCAAUAAGAAUUUUCUGGAAGAAGAUUUCCUGUUUUAAGCACGAAACAGAACAAAGCAUGAGACAUUAGUAUGCCAAGUCAAUUUUAUGAAUAUAAUUGUCAAUUUUCUUUUCAUAAACAAAAACCUAAACCAACUAAAAAUAGAAGGAAAAGCUAAACACAGAAAUAUGACCUGUUUUCUUUGGUUUCUCUGAACAACAAUGAUUGGUAGAAUGUAUCAGAUGGGAACAUGUGAACUUUAAACAGCUUCAUUUUCUUAAAGCAGACAACAGAAGAUCUGUAAGACUGGGCUUUUUGCUGACGAUCCCAUGUGUAAGAACACCAUCAAUGUAAGAUUUUUGGCAAUUGCGGUUGGCAUAUGCAAGAAGGCCAGUCAGUUAGAAGGUGUGACUAGUAGGUGUAUGCAGAGAUGUAGAGAAACCAAGUUACAGGAGAAACCCGAGACUGACAGGGAGCUAUUUUGCUGUUAUCAGUGAAUAGAAGGAUCAGAAGGUGCCUUCCCCAAACCAGACAAGGAACAAAAUGAUAAUAAAAUGGAAAAUAAACAAGUUGUUGAGCUCCCAAACCUUCAUGAAGAGAGCAUCUUGUGCACACGCAAGGAGUCCCAAUAGCUUCCAUAUUUUGCACCUUUUUUACAGAAGAGGGAAGAUGUAGAGAAGACAUUCCGAAUUGAACAAAGCAGCAGGGAUUUCUUGCAAGAGGAUGAACACUUGAAAAUGUCACAUGUGGGCAAAACUUUUAAUAUGUACUCUUUAUAUGUGAUUCGAGCAUCUUAAGGACAGGAAGCUGACUGGAAUAUGGUGAAAAGAAAGGAAACAUGAAUGCUAAUUUCAUAAAAAUAUGCAUGUUCAGUGAGGAACAGCAAGCAUACAAGAACCACAACUCAACUCAAACAAGAAUGCAUGGAUAGAGAAUAUUAAGAUAUCCCUCAAGCCACUUAUCCCAAUGUCAAUGAGCUAAGAAGAUUGUGACAGAGAUGCACGAAAUGGCAAUUAGACUGUAAUGUAAAAUAGGAAUAUGGUUCUCCAGGAUUCAGUAAGCAGAACAUAGUAUUCCCAAGAAACGCAAAACUAAAGCACCCCAUUUUAGCAAACAUCAUUGUAGUUGUCAGUCACCCAUAUGAAAAGCCAAGUCUUUUGAUAGUCAUGCGGCAAAAGAUUCAUCAGGCAUAACAUGAACCUUGUUUCCUGGCCUGAUCUGAUUAGUAUUAUAACAUCAUCUGCUUCAGCUUCAGGUCUGAGGCAGAUCCCUGUCAAUGAAACUUCAUGAUACCAGCAAUUGGAAUUAUAUAAUCUUUUUCCUAGACUUGCCUGUCUGAUCACACCUUACGAGAGAAUCACUCAAAAGGGAAAUAUAUUCACAGAAGCUUCAGGGGCCAUACAGUGAAAGAUUCCCUGAAGCUAGGACCGAAAGCUGAAGGGAAAGAGUGUAAAGAGCAAUCCUGGCUGUGAACAACCCUCCCACCAGCCUCUCUUUCAUCCCUUAAAAGAAUUAAAGGGAAGCAUCAUGUGAGUAUUUUGUGUGACUUUGGCAAAUGAAAUCCUGCUCAAAACCAAGUCAUAAGUGCAAGAUCCAUCCAAUAAUAGAACCUAGCACAGAUCAAGAUUUACCAAUGGACCCAACAUCAGGUACAUUGAUUUAGUAAGUUUGUUCAUCCAAGUUGUGCUACACAGUCCAAAUUGGGACAAAUAGGUUAUUAAUACACCAUAACAGAACAUCUUUUGGUGGUUUGGAUGGAUUCUAAUAAUGGAUUUUUCUCCUUCAAAGCUCUUUAUUCUGCAUCGGAGCCACACUGUUCAACUCAUUGGACGGGGCUGGACCGGUCCAAUCGCCAACUUGUGGCCUUUUCAGUUUGGUCCCUCACUUAAACCAUUUUGUGGCCACAAAUCAAAACGCCUAAACCGACGGUUCCAUGAACAGGUUCAAUGGCCCCUUUCCUUUUUUAUUCAUUCAAAUCCAAGCAAAAGGCCCAUGUUCCAUUUUAGGCAAAAGGCCAGCCUAUGUAUUCACUCAGUGGGCUGCGACUGGGUGAAAGAAAAACUAACUGCACCUUAAGCUUGACAAAGGACAUGGCACCACUUGACUACAAACUUUUUGUUGUUUGUCAUGGCAAAUGAAAAUUUCUAUAUUCAUUUCUAAAAUGAUUUAUAAUAUAAAAAAAAAAUAUAAUAUUUCCUAGAAUUAUAAAAUUAGUUAAAAUUAAAUAAGUAAAUUUUCUUCUUUUUUCCCCUAAUAUAUUCACAUGUAAAUACUAAUAUUUGAUAAUAUCACAAAUAAAAAAUAAAUAUUAUUAAAUUUUAAUUUAUAUAUAUAUAUAUAUAUAUUAAAUAAUAAAAUAUAUUAAUCACAUCAUCAAUUUUACAGUUUAACCAUUAAUCUGAUCAUUAAAUCGUGAAUCGAUAAUUUUUCGAUAAUCCGAUUUUAAAAACAUUACUUUUCACAUUUACCCUUGAUAAGAAGAAUUUGGUUUGGGUUAUAAUGACUGGUUAAAAUAAAUGAAAUUGCAUGAAAAGUAUUCAAUCUUUUGGCUUACAUUCCUCUGAAUGAGAUGAGAUGUGCUUCUGAUCAAGAGUGAGGGCUAGGGGUUUAGGAGACCUGCAGACAAGCCUCUACAACCCUAACAAGCAAUAACGAGCUCAACAUUGCAGUUUCUUCUCGCAAACAGUCAAGGACAAAGGAGCAACUUCAAUUUCCUCUUGUUUGGUUGCCUGGAAAACUGAAAAUGGUAAACAAAAUUAUAAAAUAAAUGGGUUUAAUUUUCCCAACAUGUCUUAUUCUAGUUUAUUUUUUAUAUAUUUCCUAAACUGGAAAAUUCACAAAUUUUAAAGCAAAUUUCUGUAUAAAAAUAACCCAAAUAAAAUGGGAGUUUAUAAAAAUAUUUAUUUUGAAAGGAAAAAUUUUACCGCACACUUAGUUUUGUUAUAAGAUUGUAAAGUUUAAAGUUGAAUAUUGAAUAUUUGGAUAAAAAUUUAGAUUAAAUGAAUUGAAAGGAAGAAAUAUAACUUAUAUAACACCAAUUUUUUUAGAAUUAAUGUAACGUUAUUGUAAUGAAUGUAAAGGUAUUAAGAGUCUGCUUGAUUGUAUUUUCAAUUGAAAUGUUUAUAGUGAAUGUAUUUUUUUCUAGUGUUUUUAGAAUGGAGAACACUUUAAAUCAUUUUUCAAUAUUAUAAAUAAUUUUUCAGAAUUUUAAAAAAAAAUUCUUAAAUUUUGCUAGACAACUACUUAAAAAAGAAAAAAGAUUAAAAAUAUUUUCUAUAAUCAAUAUCAAACGUGCUCCAAUAGUUUUCAUACAAAAAUACAACCAAUCAUCUAUGUAAGUUGGUUCUCCUCAAAAUGCGUUAAGUGCAAUGGGUGCUUAUACAUUUAAGGGUAAUGCAAUAUUGUGUUGCAAGCAGUGAGAACGAUACUAAAGCGAGACAAACUCUAAAUACUACAUUUGACCUCAAAAGGUCAUGGUGAACUUUGAUGGGAGCUUCUUUUGAAGCAAAAAGGUGUUAAUCUAAUUUUUGACUGAGCCACAAAGGAUUGCAUAAAUUAAUUAUAUUAUAACAAUAAGCUUCAAUAUGAGAAUUUUAAACUAAUAAAAAAACAUGAAAUUUAGUAUUUAAAAUUUCUUAUAUGUAUAAAUGAAUUUUUAAACAUUUUCAUCAUUUUUUAAUAGUUUCUACAUAAAAAAUAAAAUAAAAAUAAAAAUUAAGGUAAGGAUAUUUUAUUUAGAGUUUGACUUCAUUGAGUUGGUUUUAUACUAUUUAUUGAAAGAGUAAUUAAAGACUUUUUGAAUAGGUAGACGGUCAACUUCAAUUAUAAAACAUCUUUUUUUCUUUUUCUUUUUUGAAGUUACUAUUUGUAUGGGUCUAGAAGGUACCAUUGAGUUUAUAAAAAACAUGAGGUAACAUAGUUAAAUAUUCUUUUUUUUUUAUAUAUAUAUACAUAUAUAAAAUAUUAUCAGCAUUUGACAAAUUUAUAUAUUCUUUAUAUAAUUAGGUUGCAUCCCUUAUUUGGUAUGAUUUUUUUUUAUUUUCUCAUAAAAAAAAUGUAAUAUAUGAAUUAUUUAACAUUUAUUUGACUUUUGUAUUUGAUGUCUAAAAUUAACACAUGAUAGAGAAAGAGAACGACAAAUAAUGAAAAAAGAUAAAAAGGGAAUAAUUUCUCUUUCAUACAUCAAUUCAAGGAGGAUCUUAGUUCGAAUAAAAAAGAGAUCACGAUAAAGAUAAGCACGAGCAUACACAAUUUUAGGGUAAACAACCUUUAUCAUGAAAAGAAUGAGAAAUAAUUGAAACGACCAAUCAAAAAACUAAAAAAAGAAAAAGAAAAAAAGAGUAGUUAUUGUCGUUUAUAAAACUACAUUUAAGCAAAAGUUUGACCUUAGAGUUAUCAAGAAAAGUUUGGAGAUUGAGUAAAAGAAUUGUCACCCCUCACAUCAAUCCAUUAAUAACAUUAUUUACAAUAUUUGUACGCUUUAAGUUUGGAUAAGUCUAAGCUAGCACCUUACGUACCAUAGUCAAUCCUUUAGGUUUGUGCAUUAUUGGCAUACCACAAUAACAUGCUCAAAUUUGAUAAGCUUAUAAUAAAAUAUUAGUAUGUUCUCUAUAAAAAAAAUUUUAGUACUUGUUUUAAAAACACUCCCAAAUGAAUUGUAUUAACUUGUUUCCGCUCGUAUAGUUUGUUUGUAUUAGGUUUGAUGAAUCCUCGUGAUUUUAAAUUAAGUGAAACUCAUUACAUAUAUAGUGUUAAUUUUAUUUUAUUUUUUUCUAAUUGAUGUGGGUCAUCACAUUCACGUCUCAUAUAAAACAUAUCUUCAUUGUGUUUUACAUAUUGUAAGGUCACUUAAACAAAUAUCCAUUACUCAAUCAAACAAAAUCCCACACAAGGUUAAAUCCUAUUUAUGUAUUCAAAAGAAAUCCAUUACAUUUAUAGUAAAAAACUUCUUCUUAUAAAUUAAAAAUGUUUCUAUCAUAAUCACUUCAUAUUAACUCAAAUGUCUUUUCAGGAAUAAUUUAUUCAAAAAAUGAUUCCGACCCUUAAAAAGCAAUUUUCUUAUAAAAUACAGAUGUAAAUAAUUUUUAUGAAUCUAGAGCAUCACUUAAAAAAGAGUCACACAAGCAUCAUCCCUAAACAAGUCCAAAAUCAGAUGUUUGACAACAACUAAAAUAGAAAGUAGGCAAAACUUUAUUAAUAUUUCCACAUUUGUUUAUGAAAGAUUACUUACAUAUAAGUUGAAUUAGACCCAUUGAUUAUGUAUUCAAUUCAUUAACCAACACCCCCAAUCGCCACAAAUGGCAGCUAAUCAACAACCCAUCAACCAAAAAAUGAAAAAAAAAAAAAAAUGUUCCCAUACAAAAGGAUUGUCUAGAAAUCAACUGACGCAAUACCAUCCAUUUUCAUAUCCUUCAAUUCUUGAUUAUAGUUUGUCUCAUAACGCUACUGCAAUUCAUCAUCCUAACUAGCCGGCCAUCUAUUUGUAAUGCUUCUAUAUCAAGGGAUUUGUCUCUUCUGUGAGUGAAUCUUAGAAGUUGCAAACACGAAUUAAUUCUUGGGCACCUGCGGCUGCCCACAUGCCCCUCAUACUUAGAUUAUUCUAACUCGAAUCUGAAUCUUGACAAAUCUGACCCUCAUGACAAAUCUGAAUCUUUGAUCAUGUGAAAUUAAUAGGAAAAGUCUUCUGCAGACUGGAUCUCUUGAGGGGUGGUGGGGUGGUGUUCAUCAAUCAUAUGGACUUUCAGCCCCCAUAUUUUUUUAUAUACAUAUGAUUGGGGUGACUAAUUCUGUUUGUUUAUGUAUAAUUCAGCAGCUGGCCCAUCUGUGGGAGCAGAAUAAACCCGGAUUCUAUGGGCUCUAUCCAUCUUCUUCGGGCCACCAACAGUAUCAAACUAUAUUGUAUGAUUUGUCAUGGCUUUCCUAUAGCUGGUUUUUUUAAUUAUAUUAUGGUAAUCCCACAUAAUGAAAUGACCAACUUUUUAUCUGAAUGAUAUUAUUAAUUACUAAGCAUCUCACCCGAUUCUACCUAAUCUUGGCUUGUGUAUGGGUUCGGGAUCUGUUCUAAUAUUAUUUAAGUUUAUAUAUAUAUAAUGUUAGGAACUUUUUUUUUUUUUUCUUUUGAGUAACGGGGAAGAAGAAAUGAAAAUCAAGGCAAGAGAUUUUGACUGGCAUCCUCCCUAUUACACAGUGGCGGAGGAAUAUGUAAACAGUAUAUCCAACUAGAAACCAUAGUCCAGAGAUAUUCUCUCCACCGCAGAUUCCAAAAGCCUCAAAACGAAACAAGAAAAGAAAAGUGAAGUUAGGACACAGAAAAGGACAUGAAACCAGUAGUGGCAAAGUGGAAGCCCACUCACUCUCAAAAAGGCAAUGUGGCACUGACCGAAGCUUCUUGGGGCUUUCUGGGUGUAUAUGGAUUAUUGGACACUUGUUCUACUCCUCUCCACAUUUGAAUGAUGGUGAUGUCUUCCCUCAUCCUUCACUUUCUCCUAAUCUUCUUUCUAAUCCCAUCACCAAUAUUUUCUUUAUAUCUCUCAUAAAUAUCAUUUUGGAGGGGACCAAUCUCGGUGGUGUUAACUCAAAACCCAACCCUCUAUGCUAAAUUUUCAAACACUUGAUACAAUGAAAAAAUAGGUCUUCAAAGUUUAAAACUCCAACAAGGUGGUAAUGGGUUUGGUGUGUAGGUGAUUUUUUUUCAGGUAAAACAUCCAUCACGUGCAGAGACUUAUGGGAUUUUUCAAGGGAGUUUCAAGUGGAUUUCAUGGGUCCCUUGUAUGUUCUCGCAUAUUAUAGGACCGAGGAUGCCCAAGAUCGGGAGAAAUGGGGUGAUGGGUCCAUGUCACCUAGGAUUUCUCCAUUUAUUUUUAUUUUUAUUUUUGUGGGUUCUAACAUUAAGCAUCGUGUUGAAAGAUAAGAAUUAGCGACCCCCAUGUGCCAAGAAAAUGUGAAUUAUUGAAGGCAAUUUGGAACAUGUUUUAAAAUUGAAAUAUUCCGUGUGCAGCUCAUCUUGUGACUGGUUAAGGACAUCACGCAUUCUGGUGGGCAUUGCCUGGGUUUACCUGGAAGUGGUUUAAAGGGUACAGAUGACCCCACCAUACUGUAGACAGCAUUUGAAGGAUCAUAUUGUAACUCUCUUUUUUGUUCUUGCUCAAAUGCCCUCGUCAUUUUAAAACGUGUCUACGUAAUUAAGUAAAAUCUAUUGCAAAUAGCGUUAGAAGCUUUUUCUCCUAAUUGAAGAAAUCAUACGUACUCUUUAAACAAGUUUUCGAAAUGAAGUCAAAAUACUUUACGUAUUUUAAAAAAAUGUUUUUUUGUUGUCCAAAUAGAAUUGACUCUUGAUAGGAGCAUUUAUCUUAAUUAAUUAGGAAGACAAAUUCUAGUUGAACUACACCAUGUGUGGUAGAAAAUGUGAUUACAAAUUUACAUGUAUGGCUCAAUUUUCUAAUCAUACAGUUUCUUGACUGUAUUAAACAAUGACAGAAUUUAGGCCAAAACAAGUGAAAAAGAAAAAGGCACAACAUUUUUCUGAUUUCAAAUCAGUUCCCCGUGAAGAAAGGUAUAAGAAUAAGAAUCAAACCCUCUCAAUUUUCAUUUACCUUUAAGCUUUUUAUCUGGUACAAGACUCAUGGGAACAUUUUGAACUGGACAAAUGAAUACAAACCCAUUUCUGAAAAUUCAAAGGCAGCCUGAAUCUACGGUCCAAUUGCUCCAAACCCAUUUUUCCCUAGUAAAUUCAAAGACAACAACCAAACACUGUGGGCCAAUUCCUCCAUGCCCUCUUGCCAACGGUGGGUUUUCUCUGCUUUGAAGUUGAUAAAUAAGGCAUUCAAUUAUAAUAACUAAGAGAAAAUGGCCAUACAAAAAAGAAUACCAAACUUUUGGUGCUAGGUGAGUCAAACUCCAUUAUCAUCUGCAACACGUGUUUUAGAAAAAUACUUCAUAGAAAGCAACUGCUUCAUUUUCGUUGAUAAGUAAGAAAGCCAGUAGGUGAUAACUGAUGAGCAAGAGCCUUGUUCUUGACCAGAAACUCGUAAUAAAACAAGAGACUUUGGCCUUUCCAAAAAGCUUAAAAUAGGAGGUGUGGCGGCUGACACUUGUGUGAUCAGCAGUCUCCUCGCAGAGAUGGUCCUUGAACAGGCUUAAAUCCUCCAUCACAAAUUUUUACAAUUUGAAAAGAUAUUUUCAAGUGGUUAAGAUAAUAAAUGCCUUACACUCUUACUACCAAACAAAUGUUCAGUUUGUUGAAAUUUUAUUUUAUUUUGUUUUAUUUACAAAAAAUUCAUUUUUUGACUACCAAACAAGCUCUUUAAAGCUUAUUAAUAAUUGACAAGAGGUUUCUUGUUUUGAUUUCCUUCUAUGAUUAUUCAUUUAUUAUCCUCGCUUAUCAUUCAGACUUGUUUCUAGCAGGUGGGCUCCGGAGAAGUGGGUCAAAACUGGUUGGAGUUGCUGAGUUGAGUGUCUCACUUGGUGUUUGUUUCAGUAGAAGUUUAAUAGGCAUAUUAGAAUAUUGAUUAAGGGGCAUAUCAGCAAGAAAAGUAGCUUUCAGUGGUCAGUGUUGGAUGUCAAAGAAUAUCAGUAGGAGUAGUGCUUGCUGGUUUACAGAGCACUUCCCAAUCUACAUUUUUAUCUCUUCAGACAACCCAAUUGUUGGAGUUAACCCCUUCUCUGAAAAUUUAAAAAAUAUUCCUUCUUUUUUUUUUUCUUCUUCUCUGAAAGGAAUUCAAGGAAACAGUGUCUUUUUCUCUCCCCAGGCACACCCAUAUUAUUCUAAUCUACAGCUCCAAUUCCAACCACCAUCCUCGUUUCAAAUACCAUUCUCUGUAUCCGUUUGUGGUGUUUCGUGUUUGCUCUUCGUGUGUCUCCAUUGGUGGUACUUGAAUUGCCCUCCCCACUCUCAUAAAAACAGUGUCUUAUCCUUUCUGAGAAUUUAUUUAGUUGCUUCUCCUUUUUGUUUUUUUUUUUUAGUUUUUGAAAGUGGGGAGAGUGUGAAUUCAUCUGGUUCAUCUUUGUUUCUCUCGCAACCUGAUUGGAAUAUGGGUUUUUCGUGGUUUUGAGGGAGCUCAUCAUGGAUCUGGAACGAGUAAACCGAAACGGUCGGACCAAGGUGAGAAGGGUGUGUCCGAGUGUGGUUAAGAGGUUCUUUGAAAUCUCCGCCGUUGUUUUUUUUGGUUCAUGUUGUUGUUCUCUUUUUGUUGCAGAGGGAAUCAUGGAGGACAGUGCUGACCCUGGCUUAUCAGAGCUUGGGUGUUGUUUAUGGAGAUUUAAGCACUUCUCCUCUCUAUGUGUACAAAAGCACUUUUGCAGAGGAUAUUCAUCAUUCAGAGACAAAUGAGGAGAUUUAUGGGGUGUUGUCUUUCGUAUUCUGGACAUUAACAUUGAUACCACUCCUCAAAUAUGUGUUUAUUGUGCUCAGAGCAGAUGAUAAUGGUGAAGGUGGGACUUUUGCUUUGUAUUCAUUGCUCUGCCGGCAUGCCCGGGUGAACUCAAUACCCAAUUGCCAGCUUGCUGAUGAGGAACUGUCCGAAUACACAAGGGACGGUUUUGUAUUGCUCGAUAAAAAUUCUGGUUCAAGCCUGAAAUCGACAUUGGAGAAGUAUAGAGUGUUGCAGAGGGUAUUGCUUGUUCUGGCUUUGAUUGGGACUUGUAUGGUUAUCGGGGAUGGAGUCCUCACACCUUCAAUUUCUGGUAUUGGAUGUUAUGUGUUUGUGGUUUUAGGUCUAAAGUUGGAAGGUUGGGAUGCUAAUAUGUGAUUAUUUUGUUUUGUUGUGAUAAUUUCUGCAGUUUUUUCGGCAGUGUCGGGUUUGGAGCUUUCAAUGUCAAAAGAGCAUCACCUAUGUAAGUUCUGAUUCUAUUAUUCGCCAAUAUGUUAUUCCACAUCAACAAUCAUUUUAAUGUCUGAAGAAUAAGAAUUCCUUGUGGUGAAGGUGGAUGACUGUCAAGUAGAUCCUCUAAUUGAAAAGGUUACUAAUGUAUUUCCUAGGUGUCAAAUGUAGUUGCCCUCUUAGGCUGCUAAACUACUUGUCCUAAACUCCAUCUCAUCACAAGUAGGUUGGAAAACCAGAUGUUUGAGGUUGUUAGGUAAUCAAGAAAGCCUAGAUCAGGUUCACUAAGGCACAAAACAUGUGGGUGCUAAGUGACACGAUUUUCUUUUAUGGCCCGUCUCUUAGGUUUGUUUGAAGUGCACUUAGAAAACUGUUUAAUCAUCUUCAUCUUAUUCAUGCUGUGAAACGAGGUGGUUCAUAAUUAGGUAUCGAUAUCUUGACUUUAUCAUCAACCAUUCAGAACCUGAAUUUUAUUUACAACAAGCUUUUUGUACCGAUAUUGCGGUUAGUGGACAAAGAGAGGUUACCAAAUUGUAAUAGAAACAUGCAUUAUUGUGGGUCCCUAAAAGUAUAACUAAGACAAAACUUUCCUGCUUUAAUCAAAGUCAAAUCACUAUCAAGCCAAUAAAAUAAAGAUGGACUCCAUGGUGUGGAAGGCCAAAUUGAUGACAACCAAUAUAUUUAUAAUAGAUCAAGGAUGUAACAGGAGGUCAAGAAUAGAACUUUAAUUUCAUAAAUUAUAAGAUGAAAUAGGUAAAGUUAUGCUUUUUUAUAAAGUUGGUUCAGUCAUAAUAAACUGAAGCAAAAAGUAGUUUAGUAGGGAAAUGGAUGUGAGGCAAAAAUGUAUAUAAUACUCUAGUUUUCUCAGCAUACUUAUCCGAAUAGUGGCAGUGAUGAAGCAUAGGCAUUUUUAGAGCAGUCAAUUGAGGUAGAACCAUGAUUGGAGUUCCCUAUGGAUAAAAACAAUCAUGACUAUGGCAUCAGCCACACUUUGACCUGUUAUGACCAAGUUGUGGUGGUGAAUGAACUACUUGAAUGAAGCUGGUAUCAUCAUUGUUUGAUCAAUUGGUGAACACGAAUUUGGUGGUCCAAUGAUCUCCUUUAUGGUUGCUACUGGAAAUUUCCGAAGAUCUUUCAUUAUAUUUCAUUUUCUAAGGCUCCACUAGUCAUUCCUUUUUUCCUUUGUUUCUGUCAUAUAUAUGACUUACUUGCUAGUCAUGAUUUCCAUGCUUUAUUUUUAUUUGGUUUUUUUACACUUGUGGGGCCUAUCUGCAGUCCAUGUUUAAUUGCCAUCCUUUGCUACUAAUGGGAAACAUAUCCUUUGAGGCCAUUUGAUGAUAUUUUUCAACUAUGACUUGGGGCAAACAUAGACAGGAAGUUCAGGCUGGCUGUGGGUGUGCUGCUUCAUAUACUCAUAAUUUAUGCUUGUUAGCUUACCCUAGUUUUGAGGAGAUGCCAUCAACUCAAGACUUGGUUUUCUUUUCCUACCGGUUUAACCUAAAUAAUUAACAUUUUCACCUUUAACAAGUUAAGUUAGAGAUGAUUGUUUGAUGAAUUCUGUAUCAAGUUUGCAUAAAUCCACUUAUAAAAUGGGAUAAGUUACCUUUCAAACAGUACUGAUUUUCCUUUCUUUUGAAAUCUAUGCAGAUGUACAAGUUCCAGUUGCUUGUAUAAUACUGGUAUUUCUGUUUGCUCUCCAACAUUAUGGGACUCACAGAGUAGGCUUCCUGUUUGCGCCAAUUGUGAUAACAUGGCUUUUAUGCAUCAGUGCAAUUGGUUUGUACAACAUCUUCCACUGGAAUCCCUGUGUUUAUCAAGCUCUCUCCCCAUACUACAUGUACAAAUUUUUGAAGAAGACCCAAAGGGGAGGUUGGAUGUCAUUGGGUGGAAUUCUCUUAUGCAUAACAGGUGGAAGAGAUGUGCAUACUCUGUACACUUGCCAUUUAAGCAAUCGGCUCAUUUUUCUUUCUAAUUCAAAUUGUUUUGGCAUUUCAGGUUCAGAAGCUAUGUUUGCAGAUCUUGGACACUUUUCCCAGUUGUCAAUCCAGGUACAUAGGCUUGGUAAUUUGGUUCAAUGACUAAAGGGGACUUUAUGCCUCUGUCAGUUUAUACAUAGAAUAGGAUUAAUAAGCUAAGUUUGAAGGCCUUCUUUUUUCUUCGAAAAAAUACUCCUAUAUUUUGAAAUAAAACCCUGUGUUUCUUCUAAAUCAAGGUAAAUUCGAGUUGACAAUUCACAUCCCACAAUGCUCAUUAGAUUCCUGCAUUUUGCCAAUAUGAUCUGUAACAUGGUCACCUCUCAAGUUCAACAAUUGAUUGUUUUCACUCUAAUAGGAUCCGUGAAAUUUUGAUUAGAUAGAUUCAUCAUGCGAUGGUUUCAAACUGCACAAUUUUGGAUGUUAACUGCAUCUGAUUUUUAGAAAUCAGGUCGGGCACUGAUGUCGACCAUAAUUAGUAUUUCUGUGUAAAAUGAUUUGAUUUCUCCACUAGAGAAAAAAAAAAAAGGAAAAAUUAAAGCAACUUUUUUAAUCUAAAGCUAUAUUCUCUGCAGAUUGCUUUCACGUUUGUGGUUUAUCCAUCCUUGAUCCUCGCAUAUAUGGGACAAGCUGCUUAUCUUUCCAAGCAUCAUACUAUUGAAAGCGACUACCAUAUUGGGUUCUAUGUAUCUGUGCCUGGUACGGGGUUUUACUUUCUGUAUAGAGAACAGCUACUUUUAACAUGAUAUUAAGUUUGAGGUUUUAGCUAAUUAUUGGUACUGUUUUUCUUGUGUUAGAGAAACUAAGAUGGCCUGUUCUGGGAAUAGCGAUACUUGCUGCAGUAGUAGGAAGUCAAGCCAUCAUCACAGGGACGUUCUCGAUCAUCAAACAAUGUUCUGCUUUGGGUUGUUUCCCGAGGGUCAAAAUAGUCCAUACGUCAUCUAAAAUACAUGGCCAGAUUUACAUUCCAGAAAUCAAUUGGACGUUAAUGUUAUUAUGUUUGGCCAUCACUGUUGGUUUUAGAGACACAAAACGCUUGGGCAAUGCAUCAGGUAGUAUCCACAGUCUAAGUUAUUUUUUAUUUUUUAAGUUACUUAUUUGCCAUUUCUGUGUACUGGUUUACAUUUUCUCCUUUUCUUCUGGAACAGGUUUGGCAGUUAUAACUGUGAUGCUGGUAACCACCUGCCUAAUGUCCCUAGUUAUAGUCCUCUGCUGGCACAAAAGUGUCAUCCUAGCUAUUUGCUUUAUAUUCUUCUUUGGCUCCAUUGAAGCGCUCUACUUCUCAGCUUCUCUCAUCAAGUUCCUUGAAGGGGCUUGGGUUCCCAUUGCCCUCUCGUUCAUCUUCCUAAUGGUUAUGUAUGUUUGGCACUAUGGCACACUCAAGAAAUAUGAGUUUGAUGUUCAAAGUAAGGUAUCUAUUAACUGGCUGCUUGGCUUGGGUCCUACCCUAGGAAUUGUGCGGGUGAGGGGCAUUGGUCUCAUACACACUGAGCUUGUAUCUGGGAUCCCAGCUAUUUUCUCCCACUUUGUCACAAACCUCCCAGCUUUCCAUCAGGUUUUGGUCUUCCUUUGCAUUAAAUCUGUUCCAGUGCCUCAUGUGAAACCUGAGGAGAGGUUCCUUGUGGGAAGAGUUGGGCCAAAGGAAUACCGACUCUAUAGGUGCAUUGCAAGAUAUGGUUAUCGUGAUGUUCACAAGGAUGAUGUGGAGUUUGAAAAAGAUCUUGUUUGUAGUAUUGCAGAAUUCAUCCGGUCAGAAGGGCCUGAAUAUGAUACACCACUUGUCCAAAAAGAAGAAUUUGGCACAGGAAUUGAAGGCCUGGAAAAGAAUGAAAGAAUGACUGUUGUUGGAACUUCUUCAACACAAUUAGAUGGUAUAAAACUGCGUGAAGAAUCAGACUUGUCUGAUACAGUGGGCACUUCAGAGCUGAGGGAAAUAAGGUCCCCAGAGAGGCCGAGGAAGAGAGUGAGAUUCGUUUUGCCAGAUAGUCCACAGAUUGAUAGAGCCGCACGGGAGGAGCUGCAUGAACUGAUGGAAGCCAGGGAGGCAGGGAUGGCGUUUAUACUGGGGCAUGCAUAUGUGAGGGCGAAGAGGGGAUCAAGUUUGAUAAAGAGAAUUGUAAUUGAUAUCGGAUAUGAUUUCUUGAGGAGGAACUCUAGAGGCCCAAAUUAUGCGCUAAGCAUUCCUCAUGCAUCUACUCUGGAGGUGGGGAUGAUCUACCAUGUUUGAUUUUGAUUAUAGAGUAUAGUAGUGUAUUCAAUGAUUUUCUGAGUCAUUGUAUAUGAUAGUUUAAAAGCUUUUUUCAAAAUGCCAUCUUAUAAGGGUUCCAAGCAGUUGGUCCAAGAUUUGAUUUCUUUGGAAAAUAUUAAGACUAGUGAAAGAAACUCUUGUAACUCCUGCACUGUCAUAGUCAUGCCCAAGCAGUCUGAUCAUAGCGAUUUACUUAUUGAGAACUUCCAAUUUUGUUAAAAAUAUGGCUAUUAGGCCUAUACAAAAGUUUACCAGAAUGAAGAAUGCUUUCUCUGAAUGCUUAGCCAUUGUGAGUAAUGAGCAAAUGAGUGACUGCAGAUGCAUGUGAUUUAAUCGAAGGGUGUCAUCCAGUGCCAAUGUUCAAGUUCAACCAGUUUUGUGAUGUUCCAAUUUGGACAAUUUUCUUAGAGAAGGAAUGAGAGGAAGAAACUACUUGCCAUAUUGCAGCAACCAUCACCCAACAGAGACCCCAGUUUUGAGCCUCGGCAACUUUUGAACUUUAACAGCUCAAUGUGGGCUAGAUUUACUUGGAAGCAUUUCUCACCUUUCCUUUCUUUAAGAUUGUUUAGAAGUUAAUGAAAUGGCAGUGUCAUAUGAUUGUGUAGCCAUGACAAGGAAAGGGACAAAUGUCAUGCGGGGCACAGUGCCCAAAAAAAAGUAAUUGAUUUGAGAAAGAUGGUCUCUAUAUCACCUUGCAGCAAAGAAUGGCUACAGAAUCUAGUUUCCCUACCAUUGGAGGUAAGCUGGAGACAAAAUUUGAUUUUUCAUGAAUCUGGCCUUUUUUUUUUUUCUCCUUAAUUUUUUUCCCAAGUGGGUUUUGGUAGUGAUCUGUCAAAAUGUUGUUAAAAUGAACACAAGAAACACUAUUUGAUCAAAGUUAUUGGCCUAAGAGAUCAUGAAUGCACAGGGUUAUGUGAUAAAAAUAAUGCAAAAGAAAGGUGGUAAUGAUGACAAGAUUGAGGGAGCUACUGAUCUUCAUGAUGUAUGCUGCAGACCUUAAUGCUUUAAAGAAAUCAAGAGACCAAAUCCGUCAAAGAAAGAGAGAAUUACACCAACUUUCACUCCAUUUGGCACAGGAUAUCUGCCGAAGAGCACAUGAUGGAUAAGGAAAGAAACAAAAAGAGGCACUAAAACAGACACCAAGUAAAGCAUCAAAGAGAAAAAAAAACAGAAUUAGAAUAAGUAAAAGAUUAGAGAGUCAUCAAAAGGGAUGAGUGAAGCCACUCACCUUUAUUCUUGCAAACAAAUUUGUUCUAUGCACCACUUCCUACCCAUAAACCCACAAGGCCACAAUGCGGGAAACUCUCAGACAUGUCCAAAACUGCAUCUCAUUGGGUGAUGUACUAGCAUAUGGGUUUGUUUUGCCUUCAACAAUCAUACUAAAUACUCUUUGGGUACUACUCAUUUUUUUACCAAUGAGCAUUCCUCUAAUUCAGAAUCCAUUGUUGGCCCUAUGAAGUAUAAUUUUGUAAUUUUACCUGCAGAUAAAUGAUAUUUCAUAUGGUAAAAAAGGAAGGAACAUCAAGCUGAGAGAAAAUACAAAGAAAAUAAAGAAGGUUUUAGGUUAUGGCUAGGUUAUGGCUAGCCUUUAAUAUAUUAAUAUUUUAUUAUCAUAUGAUCUGGCUGUGUGAGCAUAUGUUGUCUCCUUACAAGAACAUUCCAUAAAGAUGAGAAAUAAAAAAUAUGAUUUUUUUUUUUUUGGGGGUCCAAAAUAGGAGAAAAACAGAGGAUAUGAUACCCUGUCUACUGAGGCCCUCUCUUUUGACUUUACCUUGUUACAUUUAACUUCUAUCUUUACUGUUGAGCCUUAAUCACUGUUGCUUGCUUUGUCUCUAUCGUUUUCCUCUCUCCCUCUCUAUAUAUCUCUCAAAAAAGGGGUGUGCUGAUUAACAUGUAAAAAGAAGCCAAACAUUGUUGGUGGGGUAUUCUACUUGAGAGUGUUUCUGACGAUUCCAAGCUUGAAUCUUCAUGUUUGAGCACCAAUGUUCUUUGGUUUUCUGCUGAAACAACAACAAUGAGGAAUAAUUGGGUUGGUUUGUUUCUCAUUCUCGUGGUUUUUGGUGGGUUCUCGUCAGUCUCAGCCUCCCCACCUGUUGCAAGUGAGUAUAAGCUCCAGAACCCUUAUGUUUCUUUUGCAUUUACUCACCUCUCUGCUUCAAAUGUUUGGUUUUGCUUCAACUUUCAACUCUGCCUUCAUUUUCAUAUUCUCCUUUUUGCAGAAAUUGUUAGUGGAAUUGUGUCCAAUGUGGUCUCUGCUCUUGUGAAGUGGCUGUGGUCACUGAAGUCUACCACCAAUACAGGUACAUAUCCUUUACUGAUCUCACAUAUAGCUCUGUCCCUCUGCUUCUUGCGGUUAUUCACACCUGUAGGCUAGACAUUGCUCUCUGCAAUUUUGUGGUUGAUGGGCUUGAUGGGAUUUGAUUUUUCAGCAAUUUCUAGCCGUUCCAAGAUGAAUUUUGAGGAUGGAUAUACUGUGGAAACAGUGUUUGAUGGUAGUAAGCUGGGAAUCGAACCAUACUCUCUAGAGGUAUCCACAAGUGGAGAGCUUCUAGUUUUGGACUCUGAAAACAGUAACAUUUACAAGAUCUCAUCCCCACUGUCUCGAUGUAAGCUACUUUUUUCUAUAAUGGUUAGGAAUUGUUCUUAAUUAAAUGUGUUUAGUUGAGUUCUAUUAUCUAAGUUCCAUCUUCCCAUAAAGUUGUUGUCAUUACUUGGUUUUAGUAGGUAUGCCUUAAUACCCAGUUAAAGUUCCAUAUCGAGAUUUGUUGUUUUGUGUUUUUGGCCUUGUGGAAGGACUUGGCUUCAUUCUUUGGGGAUACUUAUUUUUCUGAUUUCUUAUUAGUUAUUUCUUGAAAGAUCUCUCACCCAAUCCCAGCUUUUAGUUUUCAUCCACUUAUGAAAAAUGAGGUUUUAAUUUGCUUUUGUUUAGCAGAAGACUCCACUUUUGAAAGUACAUUAGACCUUUUAGUUUUGUUUCUGGAGAACCAAUUCCAUCUUUUAGUGAUUUGCUAUCUUUCACUUUUGUGACGAAGUUUCUUUAUUGACACUCUAGACUUGUUCUUCUGUCCUUUUUUCUCUAUCAGUCUAUGGUCCUUUAUCUUUGUUAUCUAAAUGAAGAUUCUCACGCACUUUUCUACAGAGCAAACUCAUGAUUGUAUACUCUAAUGUUUGGGAAUCUCUUUGAGCUUCUACAAGAAGCCACACCCAUUUUAAUUUUUCUUUUUUCAAAUUUAUGGGUCCAUUCAAAUUUUUUGGUAAGGCCUUUUUUUAUGUAGAACAAUUUGGGUAGAUUUUCUUUAAUCACCACCUGCAUUUCAUUACCAUGGCUUCUGUUUUAUAUGGUUCAGGCAAAGAAUGUUGAGUCAGAUUAUGUUGUUGUUUAUGGUUCUACCUCCUUAGUAGCUUGGUUGUUUUGGUACAGUUCUACAUGUUUUGUAUGUUAAAGUUGAUGAUGAACUGCAGAUAGCAGACCCAAACUGGUUGCUGGCUCGCCUGAUGGGUACUCUGGGCAUGUAGAUGGGAAGCUAAGAGAAGCAAGGAUGAACCAUCCAAAAGGGCUUACAAUGGAUGAGAGAGGAAAUAUUUACAUUGCAGACACUAUGAAUAUGGCUAUCAGGAAGAUCAGUGAUGCAGGUAAACUUCAGGUGUUUAAGGCAUUCCCUCAAAUUAAUGAACACAACUAUCUUCUCAAUUGAUCAUACAUGAUACUAAUUUUUCAAUUAAAACAUCACUUGUUAUUGUUGAUUACAAAUCUAAUAAUCUUGACUUCCAUAACAUAAUUUAGCAGUUUACCUAUUUUUCACAUGCCCUGUCUCUCUAUAUUAAUAUGGCACUGUCUAUUUGCCAUAGAUGAGCUAAAUCAUCAGAUUGGUAUUUAACCCAAGGAUUUGCUUUAUGCAGGAGUUACAACUAUAGCAGGAGGAAAGUGGGGGCGAGGAGGGGGCCAUGUCGAUGGUCCAAGUGAAGAUGCAAAGUUCUCAAAUGAUUUUGACGUGGUUUACAUUGGAAGUAGUUGCUCUCUUUUGGUUAUAGACAGAGGAAACCAGGCAAUUCGGGAGAUCCAACUUCAUUAUGAAGAUUGUGCUUACCAGUAUAAUGGUAGUUUUCAUUUAGGUAAACUCAGAUUGGCAAACUUUGUCAUUGCCAUCACUUCUCCAUGGUUAUGGAGAUUUAUGAGACGGUUUUCUCUUAUUGCUGUUGCAGGGAUAGCAGUCCUUGUUGCAGCUGGUUUCUUUGGUUAUAUGCUGGCAUUGCUGCAACGUAGAGUGGCAGCAAUGUUUUCUUCCCAAUAUGUAAGUGAUCCAGCAUUUUUUACACUUCGUUUUUGGAUCUUCAUUUAAGGAUCAAAUUUCUUGAAUUAUCAUGAACUUACUGAAUCUUGAAAAUCAAUCAUUAAUUGUUCUUUAAAUGCUCAAAUCGUUGGAAAUACCUCAAAGUUAUGCAUGUUAAGUUCCUAAUGGUCAGUCCAAAUCUGAUCUGAGAUUUCCCUAUCAAGCCUGGUCACAGACUAUUCCUGCUAAUGGAAACUUGUCAAAGUUCAUUUGCCAAUUCUUUUCAUGAUAAGUCCAGUGUAAGUUCAAACUUAUUUGACUUGUUUGAUAUGUUAUAAACAUCUUGCUCGUUCAUACUUUCUAGGAUUCAAGCACUCCUAUGAAGAAAGGUAUGCCUCCAGAAUCAUAUCAGAGGCCUCUUAAAUCAGUCAGGGCCCCCUUAAUCCCAACUGAAGAUGAGUAUGAGAAAGCAGAUGAGGGGUUCUUCGGUUCACUUGGGAGGCUUUUCCUCAACACAGGUUCAACUCUGGCUGAAAUAUUUGGGGGAUUGUUUUCAGGUUCUAGAAAGAAGCCACCCCACCAGCAAAUCCAGCAGCAGUACGGGCAACCGAAUGUGCACUCAAAUGGCUGGCCCAUGCAAGAGAGCUAUGUGAUUCCAGAUGAAGACGAGCCACCAUCAAUAGAGUCCAGAGCCCCAACACCCAAGAAAACUUAUCCAUUUAUGACUCCAGAAAUGGAGAAGACCCACCAUUUCAGGCAAAGUCGGACUUUCUACAGUAAUGGUUGGGAUGGGAAUUAUCAACAACUGCAACAAAAGCAGAUACAGCAAAAGCAGCAAUACCAGCAGCACCAUCAAAAGCAUUACUCAUCGAAUCCCCAGACUUACUAUGAGCAGAGCUGUGAGACAAAAAAUGAGAUUGUUUUUGGAGCAGUUCAGGAGCAGGAUGGACGACGUGAAGCUAUGGUGAUAAAGGCUGUUGACUAUGGAGAUCCUGUUUAUAAUCACCAUAACAUUCGACCCCGUCUCAAUUACAUGGGUUAUUCCCAUGCCUACUGAUCUUGUGUCCUAGGAAUAUAUAUGAAACUGGAAGAUGAUAUUUUUGAAAUGAAAGUAGGAUUGCACUGUGAUUUUCCUUUUUUUUUUUUUCUUUAAGAAGGAAUUUUAGUUCUCCCAAGUUUCCUUCAGUGAAUGAAUGUAUGACAAAGCAACACACAAACCAUGCAGAAUCUGUAUCGUCUUUUUGACUUUGAAAUCAAGAGAAUCAAAGAUUGGUCACUUUCCUUCUAAUUAAGCUGGAAAUGUGGCAGUUCCAGUAUAAUCAUUAGUUUUGUAAUUGGAGGAUGGAAUAUAGCCCGAGAAUUUGGAAGAACUAGUCUUGACAACUCAAACUUAUUAAACUUUGGAUUAUGAUUCAUCGAUUCCCAGAAAAUUCAUGAGGCUUCUUCUGCAGAAGCUAGUCUGGCAGGUUGAUCUCAUCCACCUUACCAAUGAACCACCCAGCUUACAUACCUUAUCAACUCAUCUUUUACCUCUGAAAAGUUCAUAUCAGGGAAAGAACUUGUGUAGCUGAGGACCAUUGCAUAAUGCACAUACUGAAGUUAAAUUGGCUGUUGUGAGUGGCACAAUCACCAAGGCAGGCAACCGGAUCCCCCACAAUUAAUCAAGAUCACAUGUAUUCUGAUGGGGACCAGAUAAAACUGUAGCACUAGGAGGUUUCUGAAUCAGUCCAUUGAGAAUCAAACAAGCAUGACGAUGAAAAGAAUUGACUGAGUCAUAUCUAUUAUUUUUUUCCAUUAAAUUCUAAUAACCCAAUUCCUAAUUUUACACAGAAAGAUACAAUUGUACCUCUGUAUUUAUGGGAGCAGCAGCAUGACUUUUAUCUUACAUUGAAAGGUGAAAAUUAUUGAGCUCACUCCAGAAACUCAAGGGCCCCAUUGAUCCAACACAUGGCAUUUAGCAUCCCAACAUGUGGGGAUUCCUCUUUGAAUUCCUUAAGCAUCUGCAGAAACAUGUUUUUCUUAUUGAAAGAACCUCAUAACAGGGGCCGGAAAAAUAGAAAAUAAGCUUCAUAUUCUCACAUCCAAAUGGGAGAAAAUUCAUACAAAAUAACUCCAUCUAGCAUUGAGAAUCAUUCUAUAAAUUUCAGAAAGACUGAAAGAACCAACCGUGUUUGAAAAGAAUUAAAGUAUUAAUAGACACAACAUCUGCAAUAAAUUAUGAUCUUCAUUUAUGAACUACCCUGUAGUUGAUGUGAAUAACAGAACAAUGAUGAACAAAAGAAUGGUUUUCAUUCAUUGGUUUCUAUACUUUUUUUUACAAGUAACUAUAGUUUCCUCUGACUUUUGACAUGAACUAAAUGGAUCUCAUACCGAGAGCAAAGCUGGAGUCCCAUUAAUUGUGUGCACCAUUAACAAAAGAGUGGCCCUCCCCAGGACUGGGACCAGAGUUCUUGAUCCCCCAGAGGCCAAGCACUUCAACAUACCGGUUGGCCCUCUCCAUUAGGCCAGGAACUGACUUCAUCAUGGCGCUGUGGUCAUGUAUGGGGCGGGCUUGUAUGUAGGAAGAGAGCAGGAUGAAGGUGAUGAAGAAGAGAACUGAGAGGAGGGUCUUGGCCAUGAAUGAAUGAAGAAAAUGAGGAAGAUGAUUGGAUUGUAUAGAGAUGGCUAUGAGGUUUGUGUAUAUUUAUAGGAAAGAAAAGGUCGUAGCCGUGUUUGACUACAAAUGAAGGAGAAAUGCUCCAUUCAAACUAGUACUGUGGUUUCUAAGUUAGGAAGCUGGGGAGGAAACUCACGGUAGUUGAAGAAUGGGUGUUUGGAGACUCGGAAUUUGAGUGUUCAACAAGUCUUUUGAAUUCUUAAAUGGCAUUUUCCAUUGAAUUUCUCUGCUUUCUGUGUCCCAAAUCUUGGCAUGUUGGCUAAAAUACUAAAUGCAACCUUCUUAAAAAAAUACAUACAAAAAUUAUUAAUUUUUAUGGAGGAUUGAAUUUUAAUAUUUAAUUUAUUUAGAUUUUACAUGUAAGUGGAUAUUUGAUAAAUCAAUUUAAUAACUUAAAUUGACUUAAUAACUUAAUUUAAGACAUUAAGUAAAUUAAAUAUAUUUUAUAAAAUAAUUUAAUGUAUGAUUUAAAAUCAAAAAUAAUUUUAAAUAAUAAAUAAAAAUAAUUAAUUUAUUCUUAAAUUUGUAUUUUUAAUUUAUUUUUUUAUUUUCGUUUACCCUAAUUACUUCAAUAAUUUCUUUUAUUAUUUACCAUCUUGAUUGUUACUCAAUCUCCUUUAUCAUAAUCAUAAUUUAUAAAGAUAAAUAUAUCAAUUUGAUUUAAAAUAAUUUUUAAAUUAAUUUUAUCAAUCAAUUUUAAUACUUAUAAUAAAAAUUAAGUAAUAAGUUUUAAGUUAAUAAUUUAAAUAUAAUUUAACUUAAAAUUAAUUUAAAUUAUUAAGCGUAUUAAAUUUUGUCAAAUAGCACAAUCAUUUCAUCUUUUGUAUGCUUAAUUAGUCGAAGCAUUUCCUUAUGUGUUAAGUAAGAUUAAAUAAUAAUAAUAUUAGGUAUGGUAGAUGAAAUCGGUUAAUGGGUAUUUGUUUUUUAAAAUAUUAAUUAUUAUAUAAAUUGUUGGAAAAAAGAAAAGAAAAAAUGAAAACAUGUGCCAGUAGACCUUUGAAUACAUGGGGGCCACGUUUCUUGCGUGUAUGUGUGAGUGACUGAUCAGUCAAGUCGGACCGUUGAUCUGCUGACUCAUCUCUUAGAUAAAGAUCAACAAAAAAAAGAAGUCAAAUUCACCUAACAAAAUUUCAAAGAAAAUAUUUUAAGAAUUAAAAAUUUCAACAAAAGGAAAUCAAGCUUGACUUGAACAGCAUAUUUAAUUUCUUUUCAUAUUUGGAAAAGAAAAAAAAAAUUGGCAUUCAAAAUUGGACGUGGGAAGAGGAAAGUGAAAAUAAUAAAAUAAAAUAAAUAUACUAGAAUAAUAUUAAAAAAUUGUUAUUUAGCAUAUAUUAUUUUUUAAAAUAUUUUUUUUAUUUCUUUAUAAAUAUUAAAGAAAUAAGACAGCUAGAAUCAGUCAGCCUUGGAGUUCAAAGAGGUGCACAUGUUCCACUUUGGAUUUGUACGAAUAAACACAUUUUUUAUUUUAGGGUAGUUGGGAACUUGGAAGAGAGAUUUAUUUUAACAUUUAUUAUGAUUUAUUUUAUUUUAUUUUUCAUUUUUUUCUACACAUUUAUACUUGGAAAAUGUUGAAGCGUGAUUGAUGGUGUGAUUUGAAAAUAGUUUUUUAUUUUUAAAAAUAAAAAAUUAUUUUUAAAUUUUUUUAAUAUUAUUUGGUUGUUGUUUUUGAUAAAUAAUAUGUAAAAAUAAAGUAAACUAGAGAACAAUUUUUAGAAAAUAAAUAAAUUGUUUUUAUCGAUUUUUAAAAACAAAUUUUAGAAAGCAUGACUAAAGGAGCCUUCAAUUUUUUUUUAAAAUAGAAUUUUAAAAUUUGUCUUAUUUUAUUCUACUAUUUGCUUCUUCGAAUUCUAAAACUUUUUCAAAUUGAAGUGACCGAACAACCCUUUUUUCCUUGAUAAGAAAAUACAUAUCUAUGUUUUUAUAUCAACAAUCAAAUCACAUAGAACAUGAAUGAAAAUAAGUAAAAGGGUUUCUUUCAUUCAUUUUCUUGAGAAUCAAACAUGAAAUUUCUAAUCAAAUAAUUAACCUUUGAAGAAUUAUUUUUGGGCUUAAAAUAAUGUAUUUGUCCAAAUCUUUAGUCUAUUUAAAAGGAAGAAUUAGUUUAAUAAAAUGCUUGUAUGCCAAAACAAGUGUUGGAUUCGCUAGUGGCUUAGAUCUUAUAAUGCCUAAACUUUGGCACCAUUUGAUUGAAACCAAUCAAGGUGCAAAACAUGGCUCUCUAAGGGAGUAUUCAGUCAUUUCAUUGACAACGACCAUGACGUGGCACUAUUACAACCAAUCAUCAAAAAAGUUGCACGGAACCUGAUGCGCAGUGGAUCCCAUCCACUGCGCGCCUUCCCACUUCUCGACCGUUAAAAACCGUUUAAAUAACCGCAGAGAAGGCAGAGAAACGGAUCUACCGGCAACGACAGGUGGACAACCGCUACUAAAACAGUAGUUUCGUCUAAGAGCAAGUAUCCACUGUAAACAGCCUCAGAAGCUCAUAGCUUCAAAUCCAAUCGAGGCUUUCCACGUCAAUGUGACUGUAUUUUUUAUGACGUGGCUUCCACCUAUUGGUACAGCUGCGUUCCCAUGCUUGGAUUAGCUGUUACCGCUUAAAUUGUGUCCCCGUCAUGAAUACCUGGCAACUGGCAAUUUCAGGUAACGGUAAUAAUAACAGUUUUCGUAUUAAGAGAGGCGGGGGAGAGGACAGCGAAUUGGGGGUUUCUGGAGAUCGUCUUCUCUCUUCGAAAUCCUGAUUUCGAAGAAGGAGAUGGCUUCAGGAAACACUGAAACCGAAUCCGAAAUGGCGGAUAUGGCGUUCGCAAAGCGAGGUUGUUGUUUCUGGAUGCCGUGUUUGGGCUCCGAGCGGUCUGCCAGGGAUGGAUCAGUGUGGUGGGAGCGGGUAGGAGGCCCGGCCGAGAAGAAAGAUGGGUGGUGGAGCAGAGGCUUGAACGCGCUGAAACAGAUCAGGGAGUGGACGGAGAUCCACGCUGGUCCAAGAUGGAAGACCUUCAUCCGGCAGUUCGGGAAAAGCCGCGGCGGUGGCGGAGGCCGGCACGGGAAAUUCAAUUACGAUCCAUUGAGUUACGCCAUGAACUUCGACGAAGGACCGAGACAGUACGGUCAUUUGGAUGAGGACCACGGCUACCCUGAUUUCUCCUACCGGUACGCAUCAUUGCCGCCGUCGGUAAAGUCGUCGAUGGAUCUCGGCAACGAUGGGCCGUCAUUCACGUGAGUGGCACACGAUGACAGAGACGAAAGAACCGCAAGCGGUAGACACUUGGCGCGAACUUCGGCGUGGACCCGGAGCAUCGUCAAGUGUAGCAGUUGGUUGACUUUUUGGACGGUAUUGAUUGCCUGGCCAAUCAGCGUCGUAUUUUUUUUCCAGUAUUUUAUAAAAAAUUAUUUAAUAAUUCCAUUUCCCAUUGUCAAAACUCAGAAGAGUCAGAUAAAAAAAUAAAAAAUAAAAAGGAGAAAAAUAGAAGGUUUUGAUCGUCUAUGAGGAUGUCCAGGGUCUAGAUGGUGGGGGAGCAAAAGGAUUUCUUUUCAAUAAGAUAGUGCAAAUAAGUUCUUCAGACUGCACGCCAACAAAUUCAGACCUUUUCCAAAAGUCGAUGGCACUUCAACCACUGCCUCACGUAAUCGCAGAGCUGAAUCACUAACCCACUCCAGUGGAUACUUUAUUUGUUUAUUUAUAUGUUGAGUCUGAAAACAAAUAAAUAAUUGCUGAUGGAUUCUUCUAUAAAAUGGGUUCACUUCCAAAAGUGAGAUCAAUGAAUCUAGUAGUUUGUAUAAGUCUAAUCUUAUUAUUUUGUAAUUGCUUUGCUUUGAUGGUACUUUUUUUUAAGCAAAAGCAAAUGGCAUGCUACCCAAUUUAGAUUUGGCUGAUGUUGAGUGGUGUUUUGAGGCGUGGGGAUGGAAAUGGUGUAGAAACUGAGGAUGACUGUCGACCCACUUCUUCUUAGUGAUGAAAUCCAAAAGGGGUUUAGCACUGAAUGGGUUCAAUUGUCGACCCACUCUCUUUUGUGUCAUUAUUUCUCCUUUUUUCUUCCCAUUUGGCACCUCUCAUUUCUUUCCCUCAUCCCAUCAUGCCCCCUUUUUCCUCCUCGUGGCCUAUCUCAUCCUCACCCACACCCCCAAUUUUCUCUGUCCUUAUCCUUGUUUUCUUGCUGCAUUUGAGUUCUCACGGCUUCUUGAUUGACUUCCGUGGUGUUGGUUGCUGUUAGUAACCACAUGUGCCACGGUCUUCCCAUCACCUCUCAAUUGCUGUGACCUGUCUUUGCGGCAAAGCAUCAUCCCUUUGUCCAUGGAAGUAAAGAAGUGCAGAGGGGGAACCUAAAAGGGAUGGACAAAAUGGGGUUUGAAGCAGAAAAGAGUGCAAGUAAUCCUCUUGUUUCAGUGCUGAUAUGUCCACGGGCAAAUGAUCGCUGAAACUCACACUGGAUGUGUUAUUCAUGGGUCUUUUUGCCACAAGAUUUGCUAAUUCUGAAUAUGAAUCAGGCCAUGAAUGUGCAUAAACAUGUACUAGAUGUAUGAUGAUCUCUUUAGCAUUCUCUCUCCUCUACAUGCUGUGCCCCACACACCCUGUUCUUCUUGGGCUAAACUGCACUUUAAAGGAAGCUUGAGCCCACCAGUCCCCACCAUUUAUCGGGAGUGGAAGCGGGGCCUCUUACCAUUUAUUAUACUGUGAUUUGACCCACGCGCUUCUACGUUGAUGGACAUACAAGAGACAAAUGUACCCGAGUUGUCUUUUUGAGAUACUUCACAUUAAUCGAAGUAGUUGGUAGCCAGACUGUAGAGCCCACUUCAUGGCAGUAGUUUGAUGCAAAUCCAAAUCUGUAACUGGUUGGCAACCGCGUGGGGUUCAUUUCUGUAUUGGAGUCUACUGAGCCCAUAUCAUUUAGUGGAUGGAUCACUCAUCCUCCAAAGUUAAAAAUAAGCGUCUAUAAAGCAGUAAAGCCACGGAGGAAAGCAGGAAAACAAACUUGGGAAAUACAGUAAGAGGGAAAAAUCUCAGAUGCCGUGGGUGGAAUUCUUUUUGGGUAUCCAAUGAGAAGGUGGAAUCCCACUUGAUUAUACAGCCAAAGAUGAUGACUGGUGAAGAUGAGAGAGAGAGAGAGCAAGAGGUUUUUGACAAGGGUGAGAACUUCUACGAGGUCACAUGGGUAGAUGAAGGCAUGAGACUCCACGCCAUGGCCAUCACUGCUACACCCAUGUUAUGAAUCAAAGGUCUCAUCGCCAAAACUAAAGAUUCUGUUCACAGUGCUUUUCAUGGAUCCCACCACCACUGCCCAAGCCCAAAAGAUCGUGCUCGCAUUUAUCCCAAAAGGUUUAUGAAAAAACAAAGAAAAAAAAUUGAACUAAAGACUCAAAAGACCAACAAAGCCAAAAGAAAUCGGCCCCUCUGAUCUGGAUCGUGUUCAGACAAACCCUGAAAAAAGGGUAAAAGAGAGGGAAAGAACAUCUCAUGCAUUUGAAUGUUGGACCAAUAAAUGGAAAUGAAUUGUCACAAAAUGUUCGCCCAUGGAUGGGGCCAUGGCAUACUUGAACUUUUGGAGUUGUCCGGAGGAAUAAGAGCUGAGUUUAAACAUAGUCGAAGCUCCAAAUUAACAAUCGAUGCUCCAAAUUAACAGUCGAUGCUCCAAAUUUUCAAGGUUUAAAUGCAAAUGCAAUGAUUAGGCAACAACAUAGGCGGGAAGGGGAGACGACACUGUUUAGGAAAAAAAAUGUUCAUGAGUGCUUGUCUGCCAACUAAACCCUGCUUUAAAAUAGUCUUAUGGCACAAUAGUUGGAAUCGCGGAAAGAAAAACUUUUUCUUUUUGGUAUUUGAUACUUUAUUGCAGAAGAACAAGAAAAGACUAAAGAUUGCAUCCUAUAAUUGACAGAUACUCUACCAUCCGUCUCCACAAGAUCGAUCGCCCUUGAAUAGAAAACAUGUUCAAUGACAACAUUCCCAAUACCAGCGCCCCUAGGAUAAUGUAAUCCCUCUUAAGAUCUUUCCCACCAAGACAUGGUUCAACAAUUGUUGGGGGAGGGGUACAAUUCACAGGAUGUGCAAAAUGUAAACAAUAUACACUCAUAUGAACAUCUUCUUCUACAAGAGAUAGGAGUUAAAGGCAUUUCUAAUUCAUCACUUCGGGAAAAAAGAGAUCAAAAGAUGAGUUUGGGUUUUCGAGUUUCAAUCAAGGAUACAAGUACAAUGGUAAAAUUACCGUGAGAGAUCAAUCAUAUUCUUGAAUUAGCAUCCCAAAAAUUGUAGGAAGAAAAGGCAAACAGUAAGACUAAAACAAGCUUUGAUCAAUGGAUCAACAAUGAAUCAUGGAAGCAGAACAGAAAAUACCUUUCACAUCUCUUGUUUUCUCCCCAUCCAUGGCAGGUCCACAUUAAGAGAAGGCAUACCGGUCUGGGUAUUGUCUGAGGAGCUUGGAAAUUUACCCUUCUUCGACCAAAGCCAGAUUUUGGAAACAGAAUAGCUGUCACCUUUAGUCACAAAACUAUUCCUUGUCCCUUCUGUUUCCUCAUUAAUUGAAGGAUUUGCAUUAUUUUCUAUCCCUUUCACAAUCUUCCCAUCUGGAUGUUGUUGUUCAUGGUUCAGAGCCACCCGCAAAAUUGAAUCACCAACAACAUAUUGAAAUGAACCCAUGGAGUAGCAUCUUCUUGCAUCUAAAUUACUGCUGCUGGUCUCUCCUCCUGCUGUUUCCCCUGAUCCAUCAGCCACCUUUCUGAAUUUACCAAGUCUCACAGGAAAAACCCCCUUUUCUCCAACAACUUCUUCAAUUUCUACUGUCUUUGGACCAGAGGCGAACCCAUUUUCUCCAUGACCAGGAAAACCAUCUUCUUCCCUCAAAUCAUCGAAAUCAAAAAUUGGGUUUUCCAUUGAGAAGCCAGGAGCAAAGAGGGUCCCUCUACAGAGAGGGCAUGUUGAAUUUGAUAGGAGCCAAGUAUCUAUACAAUUGAUAUGGAAUGCAUGGCUGCACACAGGAAGCAAUCUCAGCUUGUCCUUCUCAGAAAAUUCACAAAGACAAACAGCACAGUCAAAUGGUUCUUUCAGACCCACUAUCUCUUUGUACAAGAACACUGGGAGGGCGUCUAUAAAGGCUUGAUCCAGACCAGAGUCGUGAAGAUGAAAGAGUUGCUGCAGCUGCCUUUGAAGAGCAUCAGAUUCAGAAAUUUCAGGGUAUCUAUUAGAUUGUGAGGAUGUGGAAGAAGAAGGAUGCCUUAUGAGAAAUCUAACAAGCAAGUGGAGAAGGCCAGAGAUGAAGAACAGAACAGCUACAAUCACUAUAAUGAAAAGAACAGCUGGACUUAUUCUAGUACCAGAGGAUGAUGAAGAUGAAGGUGCUGUUGAUCCUUUAUGAAAAGCAGCAGUAUAUGGAGAUGAAGAUGAUGGAGUCAGAGGAGGUGGGUAGGUCAGAUAUCCAUCUUUCUGCUUGAUUUGAUGCUGAAUCCAAGACAUCUUCAAAUGGGUAUGCCCAAAAAACCAUCUAUGCUCUCUUUCUGACAUUGAACAGACCAUCUGGGAACACUCAAAAACCAUGCCUUUUCCCUCAUAGAUCAACCCAACUCAUCUUCUCACCACUAGAGCUAGCACAAACAGUUUCUUCUUCCCCUAAAUAUAGAAGCACAAAACUCCACUCCCUCAACUUUUUCCCUCAGAUUUGACAGAAAACAAGGGUGGUUCAGUAGGUUGUAUGGUGCAACAAGUACCAUUUUUUUAUGCUUCCAGCUGAAACCCAACUCACUGAUUGUUCAAUAACAAGAGAAUAUGACAUGACAAGUGUUAAGGUGAGAACCACCUACCUUGAUUCUGAAGAGUCCACCAUUAAUAUAGACUUAAAAGCUCUUGCAAAUGGAUGCUCUUUGCAGCAUGAAAAACCCUAAGCCACAGGCUUUUUUGAGGUGAUUUUCACUCUUAUAUCUCAAACGUGAAUAGGAAAGUGAAAUGUGGCUACUCACUUUCUCUCUCUAGACCACCCUUCUUUCUCUUUCUCUCUCUCUCUCUACUCUGGUAGAAACCUUGGAACCCAGAAGGCUGGCAGUGACAGCAGUUUCCUAAAGGAAGCCAAAAAGAACUGAAGUGGGUCCACGCGCCAAUCAAAGCGAGUGGGUAAAAUAGUCAACCACAAGCGACAAGGUACUGCUUCCAAUGUGGGCUCUUCAAAAGUGGGCCUGGGCUUUCCCACUUGUGGGCUUGGUGAACAACGAUCCCAUGCAAUAGGGUGCAGCACCAAGACCCUGAUGCCUCAUUUUCACACCUUAAUCAAGGGUUGAAAUACUCAUCACUUUGUUAAACAUUGGGUCCAUGGCACCCUUAUCAAGCCCAUCACAUAUGGAUCAUCUUUAAUCAAACAAUCACACUGUCUCGAUCGAUCGCCACUCAUGCAUCAAACCUUAAUUAGUCCAUACAAGAAAUGCAUACAAGCAUCUCCCAAAUCCAUUUCAUUCAUCUUUCCUUGAAUUGUAUCUUGCAUUCACUUUCAAGUAUUUAUUACAUUCAAAUUGAUGGUAUAGCUCACAUUUCUUGAGUGAUUUGGAUUAAGAUAUUACUUGUAGUUGUGGGUGUCUUUCAAGAUUGGAACAUGUGAAUGCCUCUUUAUCUUGUGGCCAAAGGCAAUUAGGU